Molecule: long non-coding RNA, 68699 nt
Filed under: Gossypium barbadense (sea-island cotton)
Lineage: Eukaryota; Viridiplantae; Streptophyta; Magnoliopsida; Malvales; Malvaceae
Description: long non-coding RNA (GBAR_LNC006015)
Rfam family: MIR7502 microRNA precursor family (bases 52524-52668)
Source: RNAcentral
AAUUUUCAUCUGGGUAAUGCUCAACAUUUCUUUUGUUCAGAGUAUGUCAUUUUACUAUUUAUUAUUUAAAUAAACCACAUAAUGAGAUGCAUGAAAAUGGUCAGGUAGGGACGAAAGGGAUACCUCACAUUUAUUUAUUUCAAAGGUAGCAAAGAAAGAAAGUUAACCAAGGAUAGUAAAAAGUAUCAUAAAGAGAAAGGGCAUCGCAUUCAACAGAUACAAAUGCUCUAGAUAUUCAACACAUGAACUCUUCCACGUUUUUUAAUCAAGAAUCCUUUCGAGUGUGGCUUCUUGUGUAGAAGAUUUCGAGCUUUCAGAAAUGCUUCAAAUACUGUAGUCUCGCUGUUUGACCCACCGUUCAACCGCCUUGCUCUUUAAGCCCGGGUUUGCUUCAUUAGGAUGCCCUUUCGGGUUUUCAUACUAAUCUUUUGUGUUAAUCAAGACGCCCUUUCCGGGUUUUCAUCUUAAUCUUUUUUUUUAGGCAUAAUAUUUCUUUACAGCAUCUGAGUUCACUGGGUUAGGUAACACUUUCCCAUCCAUCUCAGUGAGAAUCAAAGCUCCACCUAAGAAAGCCUUCUUCACGACAUAUGGUCCUUCCCACUUUGGUGCCCAUUUUCCUCAGAAGUCUUUUUGUAUUGGGAGAAUCUUUCUCAGCACGAGUUCUCCUUCGUGGAAUUCUCUUGGCCAUACUUUCUUGUCAUAAGCCACGAUCAUUCUCUUCUGGUACAUCUGUCCAUGACAGAUUGCCUUCACCAUUAAGACUCGUAGAGAGGGGAUCUCAACUUCAAUAGGUAGCACAGCUUCCAUUCCAUAGACCAGAGAGAAAGAUGUUGCUCUUGUAGAUGUCUGCACAAAUGUACGAUGUGCAUACAAAGUGAAUAGUAGCUUCUCGUGCCAGUCUUUAUAUGUUCCGGUCAUUUUCCCAAUAAUCUUCUUAAUAUUCUUGUUGGCCGCUUCAACUGCUCCAUUCAUUUUCGGGUGAUAGGGUAAGGAGUUAUGCUGCUUUAUUUGAAAUUGUUCACACACUUCCUUCAUCAUCUUAUUGUUCAAAUUCAAAGCGUUAUCUGAAAUGAUUCUUUUAAGCAAACCAUAUCGACAAACGAUUUCCUUUUUUAAAAACCUGCAAACUACAGUCUUCGUCACAUUAGCAAAUGAAGCGGCUUCUAUCCACUUCGUGAAAUAAUCUAUCACUACAAAAAUGAAUCGGUGUCCAUUAGAAACUUUUGGGGAAAUUGGCCCUAUAACAUCCAUGCCCCACAUAGAAAAAGGCCACGAAAAAGUCAUGAUAUGAAGGGGCGAAGGGGCUACAUGAUUUUAUCACCAUAAAUUUGACAUUUGUGGAAUUUUCAUACAAAACUAAUGCAGACACUUUCUAUCGUUAGCUAAUAGUAACCGAGUUUCAUAAUCUUCCUGGCCAUAGUGAAACCAUUGGUAUGUGUCCCACAAAUUCCCUCAUGGACAUCUUCAAGUAUUUUUCUGGCUUCAACAGCAUCUACGCAUCUCAAGAGCACUUGAUCUUUUCCUUUUUUGUACAGAAUGUCCCCAUCAAGAACGAAUCCUACUGCCAUUCUUUUGAUUGUUCUUUUAUCGUUCUUAUUUGCUUGUUUGGGAUACUUUUGGUUCUUGACAUAUUCUAAGAUAUCAUGGAACCAUGGUCGUCCAUCUGGCUCUUUUUCAAUACUGAAGCAAUGUGUAGGGACUUCAUAUAUGCUCAUUUGCAGAGGCAUUAUUUCUGCUUCUCUGUUCGCUUUAAACAUUGAAGCUAAAGUGGUCAGGGCAUCAGCCAAUUGGUUUUUUUCUCGUGGGAAGUAAUUAAAAGUUAUUUCUUUGAAUUCUUUAAUUAGUCUUGCCACUAGAUCGUUGUAUUUGACCAAUUUCGAAUCUCUCACUUCCCAAUCUCCACAGAUUUGGUAUAUCACCAACGCCGAGUCCCCAUACACCUCUAAGACUUUAACGUUUCGUUCAAUAGCUGCACGAAGUCCCAUGAUACAGGCCUCAUAUUCCGCUAUGUUAUUUGUACAGAAGAAAUUCAGCCUGGCAGUGAAGGGAUAAUGGUUCCCUUCUGGUGAUACUAAGACUGCUCCAAUCCCAUGCCCCAAUGUAUUCGAUGCACCGUCAAAGCUCAUCUUCCAUGACUUCUCUUUAGAUGACUCACAUUCUUUUCCCGUAAUGCACAUCAAGGCUUUAUUUGGGAAAUCAAAUCUCAAUGGCUCGUAUUCCUCCAUCGUUCGAGUUGCUAACAAAUCAGCUAUUGCACUCCUUUUUAUUGACUUUUGGCUCACAUAGACGAUGUCGUAUUCUGAUAGUAGGAUCUGUCAUCGUGCCAUUCUUCUUGAGAGUGCAGGUGAUUCCAUCAUGUACUUUAUUGGGUCCAGCUUUGAAAUUAAUACAACAGAUAUUGCCUAAGCCUCCGAACUACCCAAACCAAAGCACAACAGAAUUUUUCAAUUAACGAGUACUUUGCCUCAUACUCUGUGAACUUUUUGCUGAGAUAGUAAAUCAUCUUUUCUCUUUUCCCUGACUCAUCAUAUUGCCCCAGUAUGCAACCCAUUGAAUUUUCGAACACAGUCAGAUACAAUAUUAACGGUCUUCCUAGAGUUGGCGGUACUAGUACCGAGGGACUAGACAAAUUCCGUUUUAUCCUGUCAAAACCCACUUGGCACUCUUUGUUCCAUUCUCCCGGAUUAUGUUUUCGAAGGAGUCGAAAAAUUGGGUCACACUGAUUAGUAAGUUGAGCAAUGAACCGAGCGAUGUAGUUCAACCUCCCUAAAAAUCCUCUGACUUCUUUUUGCGUGCGCGAAGGUGGUAAUUCUUGUAUGGCUUUUAUCUUAUCCGGAUCAACUUCAAUGCCUCUCUCGCUGACGAUGAAGCCUAGCAAUUUUCCUGAGGUAGCCCCAAACGUACACUUGGAUAGAUUAAGCUUUAGUUGGAACUUUCUCAGUCUUUCGAACAACUUCUUGAGGUUCCCAACAUGCUCUCUUUCCCCCUUGGAUUUGGCGAUCAUAUCAUCGACGUAGACUUCUAUUUCUUUGUGCAACAUGUCAUGAAACAACAUCACCAUGGCCUUCUGAUAUGUUGCCCCAGCGUUCUUUAAUCCAAACGGCAUCACCUUAUAACAGAAUGUUCCCCACAUCGUUAUGAAAGUAGUUUUCUCCAUAUCCUCAAUAGCCAUAUUUAUCUGAUUAUAACCCGAGAAUCCAUCCAUGAACGAAAAUAAUGAAUAUUUGGUUGUGUUAUCCACUAAUGUAUCGAUGUGUGGCAAAGGAAAAUUAUCUUUAGGACUUGCUCGAUUUAAAUCACGAUAAUCCACACACAUUUGUACUUUGUUGUCUUUCUUCGGUACUGGUACUAUGUUAGCUACCCAUUCUGGGUACUUGGAGACUUAUAGGAAGCCAGCAUCAAACUGUUUCUUGACUUCUUCUUUUAUCUUUAAUAGCAUUUCAGGUCUCAUUCAUCUUAGCUUCUGUUGAAUGGGUCUGCAUUCUGGUUUCAGUGGGAGUCUAUGGACCGCUAUAUCUUCGUUCAAACCUAGCAUGUCCUGAUACGACCAUGCAAAUACAUCUUUGUACUCAUGGAGCAAAGCAAUCAAAUCAUGUUUGGUGUUAUCUGAAAUGGAGGUCCCAAUCUUCACUUCUUGCCUCUUUUCUUCAUUUCCUAAGUUUACUAUCUUAACAGAUUCUUGAUGAGGUAGAAUCUGUUUAUCUUCUUGUUCUACCAUUCUUAGUAAGUCAGGAGACGAGACAUAGUCUUCAACAUUUUCCUCAGCUUCAAACUCUCCUAAGCAAAUAGCCUUUUCAAAAUCGAUUUCAAGAUUUGUGACGGGUUUUUUCAUAUCGUUGAUAUCUGAGCACCUGAAAGUUGAAUGGAAAAGAAAACUAUAGAGGAGCAUCAAAGUAUUGGGACCAACAAGCAUAAUAUAAUGGCAUGAUGUGAGAUAUAUACAAUGAGAAGCUAUGAGAAGAGGGAAAAAUUAUGAAGUUAAUGAGAAUGAAAAGACCAUGAAAAAAUGCAUCUUCAUUAAUGUUCAUUUAAUGAUAAAGACCAUGACAAAAUGCAUCUUCAUUAAUGUUCAUCUAAUGAUAAAGAGCAAAUCAUAAGCUUUUACAAAAGAAUCCCUACUAUUACUUAGGGACACAUAAAAAUGAGAGUGUUAACAUUGAGCAUUACUCUGGAGAAGACUUAGAAACUACAAGGACAUCCACAGUAGUUCAAUUGUUCAAAAUGAAUCCAGGAGGGCAAGGGCGUAUCAUUGAAACAUCUUUAAUUGCAUCAUUUCCUUUGUCAAUGACAUUUAUACUGACAUUCUAAAGACCCCUUUCAAUUAAUAACAGCGUGCUUCGUGGAUUAUCUUGCCCAGGGUAUAUCAUUCCUGCAGAUGUAAAUGUUUUUGACAAAGGAGGGUACGUUAUGGGUUUCCAUUCUAAUUCUCGGCCUAAGGCUCUUGCAAUCCACCUUUCUCGAUCUUUUUGCAACUGUUUUCUUCUUUGUCGUAUAUCUGGUUCGAACCUUAAACAGUAUCGAGCCUUGUGGGUUGCCGAUUUUAGCGCUCUAAUUAUCCCUUACUGAUAUCUCCCCAAACCUUUCCUCGCUCGGGCUCCCUUUCCCACAGUCAGUUUAAUUCCCAUCUUGGUAUUCCUUGACAGCUUAGGCAUGGGAAUUUUAUUUCCUUCAGCAAUGAACGUAGCAUUGAUGAAUUUGAAUGAAUAGAAGGAACAUUCUACUGCAUCCUUACUUACUUCAAGGUAUAAUGUAUCAGCAGAGAUAGAUGCGACAAUGUCCUCCUCACCCACGAUAGUGACCAAAAGACCAUCCAUGAUAAACUUCACUUUUUGAUGGAGAGAUAAAGGAACUGCCCUAGCAGAGUGGAUCCAAGGCCUUCCUAAAAGGCAAUUAUAUGAAGGCGUGAUGUCCAUGACCUGAAACUCGAUGUCAUAUAUAUAGGGGCCCACUUCUAGAGGAAUUUUGAUUUUUUUCCAUGACUUCUCGUUUUGUCCCAUUGACUACUCUUACUGUAGAGUGACAAGGCCUCAGAUAAGAUAUAUCAAUUAGAAUUCUAGAAAGCGUGGCCAAAGGCAUGACAUUAAGUGCUGACCCGUUAUCAAUGAGCACAUUCGGUAUUAUAUAACCCUUGCAACGGGUUGUGAUAUAUAAUACUUUUACGAAGCCCCUACCAUUUGGCGGUAUUUCGUCAUCACUGAAAGAAAUAAUAUUAUCCGUGUUCAGGUUAUUCACCCAUCUAUCAAGUUUUUUGACAGAUAUAUUGCUUGCUACGUAAGCUUGAUUUAACACUUUCAGCAAAGCAUUUCGAUGUGGUUCUGAAUUCAACAGUAGGGAUAAUACCAAGAUUCAUGUCGGUUGUUUGCUUAACUGUUCCACGACGUUAUAUUCAUUAUGCUUGAUGAACUUAAAGAAUUCAUGUCCUUCUUCUUCAUCCACGGGCCUUUUAACUUCUUGUUCGAAUGGAGUCUCAAGUUUAACCUUGGCCUUGUGCAUCGGUGCCUUUCCUUUCUGCUUCAAGUCAUUAUUCUUCUUUAUUGGUUCGACCGCUUUAGAAUAACACAUCCCGCUGUGGGUGAAGUGUCCUACUUCGCUAACAUUUUUAGUCGUGACUUUGGAUUUUUCACCUUCAGGUAUGAUAAUGUUGACAUCAUAUUUCCAUGGUACUGACUUAUUGUCUUUGUAAGGGAAAGGAGAUGGUACUUCAAUUAUCAUCUUUGGUUUCAUUUGCUCUUUUUUUACAUCGUAAUAAAUCACCAAUGGUCGAUCGGCACUAUAAAGGAAACCUGAUGAUUGUUUAUCAGAAGUGCAUACUUCUCCUUCAUCGUCCUCUUUCAUUUUGUUAGAGAUCUUGACUUCUUUGUUGUCCAUCAUGUCUUGAAGUAGUUUUCUAAAUUCUUCACAAGACUGGAUAUCAUGCCCCUCGAUCCCAUGAAAAUCACAAAAACACUGACUUUUUGUAUUUCUUUCUUUGAAACUUCUGUUAGGGUGACAGAACAGCCCCUUUUCAACCAUUACCUCUCAAAUCUUUCGCAGCGGUGUCUUUAUUUCAGAAACACAACUCUUGGCACGCCACCUGUCUUCUUUUGCUAACACGCUUACGUUUCCUUCAGUGUGGUUAGGGAGCGAAUUUCCAGCCGUAUUGCCAGUACCAUCAAAUCAUAAAAUACCUGCAUCGAUAAGACCUUGAACCCUCCUUUUAAAGGCUAGCCAAUUUUCUGUAGAAUGCCCCUGAUUUCCGACGUGGUCCAUGCAACUGGCAUUAGGAUCGUACCAUUUUGGGUAUGGAGGCUUCAGGGGUGCAAUAUAAUGUGGGGAUAUUAAUUUUUUUCCAAUAGUUUUGGGUACAGCUCUCCGCAUGACACGGGAAUUAGGGUGAACUAGGGUACUGGGGUUUUUCAAGAUUGGAUCUUGUCGAUCUUUGUUCAUUUUUGGGUUGGUUUUGAGCAGGCAUGCUAUUUGGUAGGAACAUGGCAAAUGAUCUUUGGUUAUCUGUGGCUUAGACGGAGAAAGGAGGAGGUACUUGAUAGUAAGGGCUUUGGGGAGGAUAAUAAAAGUUUGGAGUAGGCGAUAUCGAGGUCGUGGCUGGACUGAGUAAGGAUUAGAAGUGUGGUGGCUCUCAGCUCCCACCAUAUGGGCUUCUGCCUCUUUUUUCUUUAUAGGUGAUGCCCUUUUCAAGCUCUCAGAACCUUUCAUCCUUCCACUUUUGAUGGCAUUUUCUAUAAGUUCCCCGGAUAUUACAAUAUCUGCAAAGUCCUUCGUGGCACUUCCUACCAACUUAUCAUAAAAUGGUGCUUUCAAAGUAUUGAUGAAGAGGACCGUUAUUUUAGUUUUAGUCAAUAGAGGUUCUACUUGAGCCGAGAUAUCCCUCCACCUUUGCGCGUAUUGCCUAAAAGUCUCCGUCGGCUUCUUUUCCAUUAUCUGCAGAGUUAGCCGAUCAGGCACCAUGUCAGAUACAUGCUUGUAUUGUUCACAAAAUGCUGACACCAAGUCUUUCUAUGAUCGGAUCCUUUUUCUACUAAGUUAAUUGUACCAUCGAAAGCUCGAUCUGACCAAGCUAUCCUGGAAACAGUAUAUUAACAAUUUAUCUUCAUUCACGUAACCAGUCAUCUUUCGGCAAAACAUGACAUGAUGCGCCUUUGGACAUUUCGUUCCAUCAUAUUUUUUAAAAUCUAGCACUUUAAAUUUUGGAGGCAGAACCAGACUGUGCACCAAACUAAGCUCUUUGGCACUUAGUGCAGAGAAGGUUUCAGCACCUUCUAUCGCCUUGAGCCUUUCUUCCAAGCUUCUAUACUUAUUCCGGGCAUCAUGAUCAUCCAUUUUCAACCUGGCUAUUUCUACCGGAUCGUCCAAAUCUGGAAUAUCGGGAUCAGUAGGAUUAGCUCCGGGGUUCAAUACGAAUAUACCUUGCCUUAGAUGAGUAGGGGGUACGAGUCGUUACGCCAAGCUUGCAGGUUCUCCUCGAUGACAUUCUCUUUGCAUUACAUGUGUGUGAGGUGGAGUGAAUCCUGGGGGAUAGAGCGGAUCCUGAUCAUGAUUAGCUCUUGGCUGAGGCUCCAUAGUGUCAGGGCUCUGCAUAGGUCCUUUUCCUUUGACCAAAGCUGUCAUCAUCUCCAUCAUUUUAGCCAUCUGAUCUCUUUGCUCGAGCGAUUCCACUCGAGAUCUUAACAUCAAAUCUCUUACUUCCUAUUGUGACUUGGUCAACUACUCUUGCAAUUCUCUUUGGGUCCUUUCCAUCCUUUCAAUUCUCUCAUUGAACUCGGCUUCUAUAAUUCUAGCUUUUCGGCGCGUCCUAUAAGAAUGGCGUGAUUCCAGACUUGGAGUGUUGCAACUACGAAUUAUACGGUUUUAGCCUCAGUGAAUGAUUAUGGUGAUAUGUACAUGCAAUGAACAGAUAAAUGAAUGAAUGACGAAUGAAUGUUAGUCAUGAAUGAAUGUGCAAGAAUUUGGUGUUGAUUUCAAGAUGGCCCCUACUUAGGCAUUUCAUUAAUCAAAAGAGUCUAUUACAAAAUGUUUCACUAUCUUUGAUUCAAUAGUUACAUAAAUUUUCUAGCCACAUCGCCUUGUUUCUUCACUCGUUCUAAGAAUUCUGAUAUACUUGAUCUUUGACUCGAAGGGAAUUGGCAACUGAGAGCUUCGGCUUCAUUUGAUGAUUGCACGACUUGCAUAGCCGCCUUGCGAAUUUCAUUGAUCAAAAAGUCGAGUUGCAUUUCCUUUUUUUGGAGAGCUCUUUCGUAGGCGUGAGUGUCUCUGUCGUACUGACUAUUCUUUUCUUCCAAGGCUUUUAGGAGAUUAUCCAACUGUUGCUGUUGAGCUUGCAGUGUAUUUUCUAAAUCUCUUACUUUCCCUCUUAGCUCUUGAUGUUUAAACUGACUAGUAAUUAGUUCUGUAAACACAGUUUCAUAUUCAAGAUUCUUCUUUUUCAACUCUAUCAUAGCACGCGCAGCUUUUUCCUCUUCUUUCUUUGCUUUCCCUCUCCAGAAAUCCAUCCCACCUUUGAUAUUGCUAAUUUCUUCCUUCCAUUCUGCUGACGACUUGCCCAAACCACUAUUUUUUAUAGUGUUUCUUAAUUUCUUAUUUUCUAAAUGAAAAUCCCUUAAAUCGUUUCUUACGAUCUCAGCCUCUCUUUGAGCUUUCCCGGUUUUAGAUUUUUCAAUUUAAACAUUGAUCUUCAGCUGGUAGUUUUCCUCUUGAAGAGAAUUGAUAUCUCGUAACAGCUUAGCCUUUUCACAUUCAAAUUCAUGUCUUGCUAUUUCCAACUCGGACGAUAUUUCUUCUGAGAAAAGAUUCUGGAAAGUAUAAUCCAUCAGCGAGAUUUGUUGACUGUUCACUCGUCGCUGUCUCCCUAUGUCAUAAUCUUGAAUGAUGGUAUCGGCAUAGAGAGCUAACUCCAUUAGGUGAAUUUCCUUUUAAGACUUUGCAGUAUCUCGGACUCUUUUCAUGUAACCCUCACCUGUAAAGGCAAACUCAGACUGUGCCAAUCCUCCGGUAGCAGGUAUGAAUUAUCGUGAAGCAAACUGUCUUUGAACCAUUAAUGGGGCAUAUCCAACUCCUCCCCAUAAUCCUAGUAAAGGCACCCAAUUUUGGCUUCCAGAUUUAUAUAACAGAAAUGAAGGACGGAUCCAUGGUGCUCUCCAAGUUAUCUCUUCGGCGCGAAGGUUUUGAAAAACUGAAACCCAGUGUUGUUCAGUAACAUCCUUUGACCAAUCUUUCUCAAGAUAAGCUUUCAAUGGGGAAAAUGUUUUAAAAAACAUGUGGAAGGGUGUACGCUCUACUUUCCAGAAAUGGCUCAGAAUCCAAACAUUAAGUAACUGCGCACAUCCGAUAAAACGUCCUUCCCCUUUUCUCCUACAACUGUUUAGAGAUCUAAAAGUCUCAGCUAAGAUAAUCGGGACGGGGUUGAUCCCUUGCCUCAACCUUUCGAAGAAAUCCACUACCGCAACGUCUACAUACUCGAGAACCUUUGGGAAGACAAUUAAUCCAUACAUGGCCAAAGCAAACAUCCAUUCUCUUCACAAUAUUUGGAUGGUUUUGAACUAAAUCUCGCAGAGAAAACCACGAAACACAACUAACUUCGUUCUUCUUCUUUAUUUGUUUUUCAGCCCACAUAUCAGUCAUUCUCGCCAACCUCACUAACUUUUUCUUGAAGGUUAUUGGUUUGGGCUCUUUCACAUAUAUCUUGCUGAAUUGUACAUUGUCAAUGCGAAGUAAGGCAACAUACUCUUCUAUGGUCGGAGUCAUAUCUUCCUGAUUGAAAGUGAAACAUUGAUAAGCUGGAUCCCAGAAUCGAACCAUGGCUUGAAUCAGUUGUUCGUCUACGUUGACGAUGAUCAAGUGAACUAUAUCCCCGUACUUUUCGGUGAAGAUGCCCCUAGUGUUUGAAUCCCACUGUUUCCAAAUCCGAGUCAAAUCCUCGAGGUUAUUCUGACGAGCAUUUAUAGUUACUUGCUCGGGAAGACUGGAGAUACAUCCUUCCGUUAAACUGUCCCCUUUCGCUUUCUGAGUCUUCAAAGACCAAUUUCGAAUCACGGUAUUUUUCUCGGUCACUUGUGUAAUUGACUCCUCCAUCAGAAAUCUGUUUUUGGCAACCAAUCUCUAAUCAACACCUUCCUAAUCAAGAUGCCUAUGAUGCAUGAUGAAAAAUAAAGAUAAAGACAAAUAACCUUGGUUAGUAAUCACAACAAAUAAGAACUGAGAAAAACUAUAGAAACUUCAACAAAUUAAGCUACCUAGUUCAAUUCCUUUGCAUAAACAGUGUAAAUGUAAAGGAAACGAAAGGCAAGAGGCGUUUCUCCCGUGUACUUAUUUUGGUGACUAUUAAUGGACAGAGGUUCGGCAUGGCUCUAAUUAGGUGGCUCAUAUGGUUUACUAUAUGCGGUUUCAGUUCUAGACAGGUACUCGAAUUGUUCGCACUAUCGUCUACUAAAACUAGUAUGAAGCCUCGGUCGUAGCCCAUCCAAGGCUCACGAUUUUAAUUCGAGGGAUUACAUUUACUUAUGCCUAUGCAGAGGGACAAGUUAACUCACGAAAGCAUAAGUCGUAUGUAACCCGGAAGUAUUCACUAGCCUGUGCGGAGGGAUGAGUUAACUCACAAAGGCAUAGCGUUUACUUCCACUUAAGCGGAUGGAGCCCAGGUAGAGAGCUCAUGUUAUGCAAAAAAUGCAAGUGCACGGUGUGUAGGGAGAAACUCACAAACCUUUACGUUUUAUUUAAAAACUAAACUAAAAAAAGCUAAAACCAUAAAACUUAGAGCUGAAAAACAACAAGAUAAAACAAGUUAGAAGAAUAUUUACAACAUGAUGCAAGUGCAUGGCUUUUCAAAAACAAAAUUUAAGGAUCACGACUAAAUAUUAAUUUGAACAAGAAAUUUUGAAAAUUUUGACAACAUGCGUUUAAUUCUAGACUCGACUCUCCAAAAAGGUCCUCAGUGAAGUCGCCAGCUGUAGCGACGUGAAAAAUUUCGCUUUGGUCACUUGUUGAGGCGAUUAUUUGAAAAUUUAAAAAUAGAAUUUUGAUUUUAAAAAGAAAAUGAGUCGCCACCGAUCUUUUUUUUCUAGGUGUGAUCGGACACCUAAUAAAUCCUCUUUUUAUAAAAAAAGAAAAUUUAUUUUUGAACAACAAUGAAGGCCGAAUUUGGGUCAACGCGAAAAUUCAGAGAAAAAUAGGGUUUGGGAGUCGGUUACGCACGAGGAAGGUAUUAGCACCCUCGCGACACCCAAAAUUGGUAUCUUGUUAAACAUGCGUUGUCUUGAUUUUCAAAAAUGCGAGUUCAAUAUAACAUUUAAUCGUGAUCCGAUUAAAACACGAGAAAUUUCUAGUUUUUUGGUUUUUUUUGAAGGAUGUCCCGUUUUUUUAACACGAGCCAACGUGAUUCAUCCAACAUAGUGAUGAAAUCAUAGACUUGAUGUUAAAAUCGGUACAUUGCCUUAUUUUUAAAAUUAAAAUGUAAAAAUGUUUUUAAAAUGAUAGUAAAAAAUCUUAGAAUAUUAUUGCAAAAAAAAUGCAAAUAAUGAUGCGAAUAAUAAAAUAUAUAAAAUAUAAAAUAUUAAAAUAUCAAAAUAUUAGAAUAAUAAUAAAUAAUAUUGACAAAUAAAAAUAAAAUAGAAAUAAAAAAGUGUACGUAAUAUAUAUAUUAGAAAUAAUAAUGAUGUUUAAAAACAAUACUAUUAACAAUACUACAUAAAUAUGUACAUAUAUAUUAAAAAUAAAUACAUAAUAAUAUUAAAAGUAUGUACAUAAUAUAGUGUUAAAAAUACAUACAUAAUAUAGUUAUUAAAAAAUAUAUACAUAAGAUAAUAUAAAAAUAUAUACAUGAAAUAGUAUAAAAAAAUAUAACUAAUAAUAUUAAAAAUAUAUACAUAAUAUAUAUAAAAACAAUUACGAUAUAUAUAUUAGAAAUGAUAAUAAUAUGAAAAAAAACUAUUAAUACACUACAUAAAUACGUACAUGUAUAUACAUAUAUAAAUAUUAAGUGAAAAUCAAUACUAGUACUAAUAAUAUUAAUAAUAAAUAUAAUAAUAAUAAUAAAUAUAUAUGCAUAUAAUAGUAAAAAAAUGAGACAUUUAAAAAAUAUAACUGAAUAUAAUAUAAUAAUAAUAAUAUAAAAAUAAUAGUGAUAACAAUAAUAUAUAACAUGAAUAAUAUUGAAAGCUAAAUGAAAUAGCAAAAAUAAUAUAAAAUUCAAGAUAAAUACGAAAAAUAAAUGAAAAAAGGACUAAAAUUGGAUUAAAAUCGAAGUUUUGGGGCAAAUUUAAAAUAAAAUAUAAAAAAGAGGACCCAUUUGAACGCGCGUGCAACUGCAGAGGGCCAAAAAAAUAAUUUACCCGAGCCUUUAAAACAGCGUCGCUAAAAGGAGGAUCAAAUCGCAAAGCGCGAUAAAUUUCAGGGCCAAUUUAAAAGAAAUAAAAACCUAAUUGCAAAAUAUAGAAAAAGCGGAAGGACCGCGCGCGCAAUUAGCCCCUAAGAGCAAAAACGCGCGGAUCCUGAGUGGGUAGGGUCGGGUCGACCCGAUCCAGGGCAAAACGACGUUGUUUUAUGCCCUGGAUCCCAAGGUCAAAACGACGCCGUAUUGCUUGGGUAUUUAAACCCCCAAAACUUUAUUUUUUCUUCAUUUCAGCCUCUCAAACAAAAAAAAACAAGAAAACCCUUCAAAAAAAAACUCUUUCCUCCACCCUUUGAAUCCGGCCAAACUCCGAUGGAACCUCCGCCACACGCCGCCAUCGCCGGCCACCGCACAUGGUGGCCAAAAGUUCAAAAGGUAACUUUUUUUUGUUUUUUUUAUUUUAUUUUAAUAAUACAUAUGUAUAUGUAUAUAAAAAGAGAGAAAAAACAAAAAAAAAAGAAAGAAAAAAAGAUUCGAAACAAGAAAAAAAAAGAAAAAAAAGGAUGCUAACCACCUUUUGUCAUUUCUGUAUUUUAUUCUUGCUUUUGGUUAUCCUCUGUUUUAGUGUUAUUCUCUACUUUGGUGGUUUAGAGUCACUUGUUUUGAGUUUGAAACUAUGGUUUUAUAUUCAUGAAUUGCCGAAUCCUUUACAUUGUUGUUUUUGGUGGCUUUUAUAGCCUUUACAAUGUUUUUAUUUAUUAUUUGUUGUCUUUUCUUUUUGAUUCCUUGCAGGUGCAAGUGGGCGACAGUGGCGUGUUGCAGGUGGCUGGUGGUGCAUAGGGCAGUUGGCCGAAAGUCAGGGGGUGGUUGCGGCGCCGCAAGCUAGGGGGCUAGGGUUAGAUUUAGGGGUUUUUUUUUGUUUGUUUCUGAUUUUGGGGUUUAGUGUUUGGGCUAUUAGGAAUUGGGUUUGGGGUUUGGGUUAUUGUUAGGUCAAAAUUGUAAAGGGUUAAUUUAAGUGUUGGCCUUCUGUUGGGUUUUGAUGUAAAUGGGUUUAAGUAGGUCUGAUAGGUUAAGGGUUUUGGGUUGGUUUGAUUCAAUUUGGGUUUGGGUUAGGUGGGUCAAAAUUGGUCUGCAACAACCUCGUAAUUAGAUCAUUUUAAUAAACGGUUUAAUUUAUUAAAACAAAUAUUUUUGGUUUACGAAAUUCAGGAAACGAGUUCGGGAGUCAGUUACGCACGAGGAAGGAUUAGCACCCUCGUGACGCCCAAAAUUAGUACCUAGUUGAUUAAUUAAAGUCUUGGUGUCGAAAAUUGAAAACCCGAAAAGAAUCUAAAAAUACGAUCCCUCUUUGUAUUAAUAUUUUCUUUUGCUUAAAAAGAUGCUUGAGUAAAUUGAAAUGUAUGUUAAAGACUCUUUUAUCUCGCGGUAACAAAAUGUCACAUCUCGUAAGUUAGGACAAGACACCUCGAAUCCUUGAGAAUAAAUUUGCCCUUUAUUUUUUAUUUAAAUCUCGUGUAUUUUAAUUUUGAAAGGAUAUUCUGUCAUUCAAGUUCGAAGAGAAAGUCAAAACCCCGUAAGUUAAGGUACGAUUUCUCGAAUCUCCCAAAUACCAAACAUUGCCUAUUUUUGAAAUUUUGUUUUGAAUAAUAAUAGGUGUAAUAUUUAAACGAUGUGUAUUUAUCUUAUUUGGAUACAAUACCUCAAUGGAUAAAUAUAUCUAAACUUAAUGCAUAGUAUAAUGAUAAAUGGAAUAAUAUAUAAUAGCUAUAUGGGUAGAACGAUAGAAUAAAAAAAUAUAGGAAUACUAUAAUGAUACAAAUGUAGUUGUAAUAAUAAUAACAAUAAUAUUAAUGAUCAAAUCAAAAUAUUAAUAAAAUAAAUAAGGUAAUCUUGAAAAUAAAAUAAAAUGGAAAAUGCAUGAUAAUAAAAAUAAUUAAACAUGUCAUGAAGAUAUCAAAAAUAAUAAAAGCAAUAAUAUAACAAAAAAAUAAAAAAAUAAAUGAAAUAGAAAAUGAAAUAAUAAUGACAAUAGAGCAAAAAUGUACAAGUAUGAACAAUAUAAAUUUUAAAAUAAAAAGCAAGACAAUUAUAAAUAAAUGAAUAAAUAAGUAAAUAAUAAUAAUAAAAAGAAAAAUUCAUGAAAAGAUGAAAUUGCAAUAGAUAAAUAAAUAAGUAAACAAUAAUAAAAUAAAAUAAAAAUUCAUGAAAAGGCUGAAAUUCACUAAAUAGAGGAUUUAAUUGAAAUUUAAAGGAAACUAGGGGUUUAAAUAGCAAAUAAUAAAAAAUAGGCCAAUAAGGGUUAAAAUUUAAUGCGCUAAAAAAGGACAGGGACUGAAAAGGGAAAUAUCCCUUGUCCUUAUACGCAUCGUUUCUCAUGUUACCAAAAUAAAACAGAAAUAAAAUUAUAAGGUGAAAUUUGUAAAUAUGUAAAAUAGAUAGGACUGGAUUGAAAAACAAAUAAGUGGCGGAAGGGUCGAAACCGCAAAUAACCCAUGGAUCGCAAAACGCGCGGAUCCUAUUAAAGGGAGGGUCGGACUUCGGGUUUGCCCCAAAACGACGUAUUUUCAGGGCUUCUGGACUCUUCCGAAACAGCGUCGUUUGGUGUUAGCUAUAUAAGUUAAGAUACCAACAAAAAAAUCAUUUUAUAACCAGAUCUAAAAAAAAAUGAAUCCUUUCUUUGUUUUUUCUCUCUGGGCAUAGCCUAGAAUCUGGCCAUAGGGUCUGGCGAGCCUCCGCCGUGGCCGAAAAAAAAACUUUCUCUGUCCUUUUUUUUUAGGUUUAAAACCCUAAAAACCAAAUUUUUUUAAAUCAAAAGAAGAAAAAGAAAACAAAAAGAGUAACUUUCGGCCUUGCCGUUUUUAGGAAUCCUCGCAGAACCCUAAUGGGUUUUGAGGUGUUCAAUUGUCGAAGAUAGCCCUCGACGACGACAGGUAAGAAUUUUUUUUCUUAUUUAUUGUUUUCUUAUUAAAUAAAAAAUAAACUAACUACCUUUGAUUUUGAUUUCUGCUGUUUUAAAACUUUUCUAGUUUUUUUUGUAUUUCUCUCUGUAAAAAAAAUACAUUGAAAAUUUCGUGGCUUUUAUAGCCAAUAUUACACUGUUUAUUUCUCUGUUUGUUACCACUGUUUGCUUUCAUUUCUGCUAUUGUUUUUGCUGUCAUUGUUUCUGUCCUUCUUUCAUCUUUUGGCAGGUCCCGCGCUAGGUCAACAGAGGGGAGAAGGGCUUUUUGGUGAAAAGGCGACAGACCUUGGGAAGAGGAGCCUCGAGACGGGGCGCGCUGAUGUGGCAUGGAGGCAGCAGCGCAUUAAGGUUUCUACUUCUGCUAAAGUUGUUUAGGCUAUGGCCUAUUGGGCUUAGGGUUUUUGUUUGUUUUGGACCUAUAAACUUUGGCCUUAUAUAUCUUUAACUGGGCUGUUUAAAAUUUUGUUUUAUUUUGGGUUUUAUUUGAUUUAGUAGGCCGGGCAAAAAUGGACCAUUACAGUAAAGUUUGAACCCGUAACCUCAAACACACAAUCAAGUCAUUUAACCACUAAAGCAAAUACUUAAUUCUGAUAAAAUUUAACAAAUCAAAUAUUUAAAUUUUGAGGGCGUUACAAAUAGGAAAAAUGCUACAAACAAUUAAAUCUAAGAAGAAUGGUAAGGGUUGUUUGAAAGGUCUUAAAUUGGACAUUAGGAAAGUGAAGGUUCAUAUGGCUAGUUUGUAGAAAAAAAUGAAAGAACAACGAAAGACACAACCGAAAGUAAACUACAAACGCAUAAAUUGUUUAUGUAGUUUGGACUUAACCUGUAUAUGAGGAGAUUUGCUCAAUAAACCUCUCUUGUAAUGAUCCAAUUUUAGGCAGUAUCGAAAAAUACGAUUUCAGAACCUCAUUUUCGUAAACUGAGAAUAUAAAGGUAAAAUAUGAAUAUUUGCGGAGUUAGUAUAAAAAUAUAUUGAAGAUUAGUUAGUAAUUUAACUGAGAAAAUAGUUAAUUAACGCAUAGGGACUAAAAUUGCAAAACUCCAAUCGCCAUUGAGUUUUAAUUUGGAAAAUGAUUGGGGACCUAGAUAGUAAUUAUCCAAAUGAUCAAAAUAAAUAUUUAACCAAUUUUAAAUAUAAGUUUGUAAAGAAUGAUGUUGAUUCCCACUUAGCCUUGGUUUAUCAUUAUAUAUAUAAAAGCCUUAAUUAAAUUAACUAGGCAUGAUAUAAAUUGAUAAAUGAUAAUGUGAUGCGAAUUUAUGAUGGAAAUGAUAUGAGAUUAUGAUAUGUGAAUUGAUUUAUAACGUGUAAUUGAAACAUUGAUUACCCUAUUAACUCUUCGGGUAGAGUCGGAUAUAGUUGACAUGCCAUAGGGUCACGGGUGUAAUGAUAAAAAGUCAUCGUUGUCGAGCAACCCGAGAUGACAAAGUAAAGAGAUUGUGAAAGUCAUCAUUGCCCAGGAACCUUGGGUGGUAGUAUGUACAUGUUUUAAUAGUCAUCGUUUAAGAGGAACCCAAGAUGACAGAAAAAUAGAUCUGUAUAUCCACCUUGAGUCCGUGUCUGGUUAAUAGGGAUUCUAAACAUGAACUUGAUAAAUGACAUUUGAAUGAAAUAAUUAUAUGAAAUUGUACUAUAUGUGCAUAUAUGUGAAAUGUGACUAAAUAUAAUAUGUGAAAGAUCAUGCAAAUUGAUUUAUUACAAGCCCUGAGGAUAAGUAUGGAAAUGGAACGAAUCAAUAGAUUCGAGUAUGAAAUGAGAUAAAGAAAUGAGAUUGUGUUAUAUAUGAGCAUAUGAUAUGAUGGUAGAAUGUGUAUGAUCAUAUUUAUAAAUGAAUGUGAUAUGUUACAAUAGAUUGGCAUAAAAAAUUGAUACAUGAGACAUAUAUAUUGGUUGAUGAUGUUGGAAGUUAAAUUAUGUUUUGAUUGCAUUAUGUUUUGACAUGCUAUUUGAAAUGUAAUAUUGUCUUAAAUCAUGAAAGUACCACUGAGUUUUAUCGCUUAACAUAUGGUUUAUUUAUUUCGUGUGCAUGUAUUUGUAAAUCUUGAAGACUCAAGGAGUGAUCCAACAUCCAAUCUAAGACAUUGAGAGUAUGCAUGUUUGUUUAAUUGGUUGAAAUAGGCAAAUAACUAUUUGGGCAAGUUGUUGUGAGUUAAUGUUAAUGGUCAUUUUGAAAAUAGUAAGUGACGUCGUGAUGAGAAAUCGAUAGUGAGUGACGUCGUAACCAUGGACCUCCGAAGCCGAGACGUCAACUCGGUAAUUUUAAUAUUUUACAAUUUAGUCCUUAAUCGACCUCAUGUUAUCAAAAGAGCUUUCAUAAGCUGGUUUAAACCCCAAAAUUAUUUAUGUAACAUGUCAUGAUCACAUAUUGAAUAUUAUAGUAUGUAUAAACGAUUGAAUUAAGAUUUUAGUUGCUUCGACAAUGAAUGUGGUAUCCUGUAAUUCAUACCCGACAAUCGGAUCAAAUAUGAAGUGUUACAUCUCUGCUAUAAUCUUCACUAUAAUCUUCACAGCAUAAAGAACAGUGAUUUAAACUUAGAUCUUUUCUCUCAAUAUACAGCCUCACCUUUGUAUGAUGUAUCCUAGGUUCUAACAUCUUGCUUUGCAAUAGUUAGCAAGUGUUUACAUUAACUUCUAAAAAUAAUACAUUUCUCACAAAGCAAAAAUAGUUACUCAAAUGAACAAAUCUCUGAAUAUGAAUUCACUCCAGAAAAGUCUACCCGAAAAUAAUAUUGUUUCUCCGUAUAAGUAGCCCGUGAUGGGGUUAUCUCAUCUUUUGAAUUUGGGUAUCUUCUUCAAUUUUAAGCGUCACCCCUUUUAUCUUAUGUUAUCAAAUAAGUCUACAAACAGGCUAGGACUCUUAUCUUCUUCAUUUAAAAAUCACACAUAGAGUCCUGUAAAGUCGAUCUUGAAACAACCUUAAAACGGUGUUGCUGAUUUACAUGUAUAAAACUGAAUACAAACAAAGUAAAAAACUGCCAACUAGAAUGCAGGUUGUGGCAAAAGUUAUGGUUCAAAAUGUGGUCACAAGGUAUACACCAACUUACUCCACAAACUUGUUUCCUAACACAAAGCUUAUGAUAGAGUCAACUGCAAUUUCAUUGCUGUUGUACUUGAAAAGUUAAAUGCAGUAAUGCAUAGAUUAGACUUAAAAUGCAAUGCAUCACAACAGUCUCUUGCCAACUACUACCGAAUGGAGAUUGAGUAGCAUUUUAAACCAUGUAGAGGCCAGAGACAAGGACACCUCAUCUCACCGUACAUUUUGGUGUUGUGUCAAACUGUUUUGUCGGCAACAUUGUACAAGGUAGAGGACGAAGAUUCUAUCAAAGGAAUUAAAAUGGCAAGGGAGGCACCUUCUACCAAUCAUCUUCUUUUUGUUUCUUAGGGCGAAUGUCCGCUCUUUCAGGGCAAUUAAGUCUACUCUUAAUUUUUCUGUGGGCUGUCAGGAUAAAUGGUUAACUUGGAAAAAUCAGAACUUUUUAUUAAUCCAUCCAUCCGUAGAGCAGGGUAAAAGAAGAUGGUUGAUGGGAAUCUUACGCGUCAGAAGGGUUGAGAAUCCUAGGAAGUAUUUGGGGGUUAAUGUCUGCGAGAUCAGUGAUAAAAGAGCUAUUCUAAAACAUCAUUGACAAGAUUCAAGCUAAAGUGGCACAUUGAAAGGCGAAGUGUCUUUCAUAACGAGGUAGACUCACCUCAUUAAAUCCACUUUCUUUACAUGUUCUGUUUUCAAAGCCUGUCGCUACAUUUGUGAUAAGAUUGACCAGAUUUGAGAGCUUUCUAGUGGAGUCAUGAUACAUGCAUAAGGAAACUGCAUUCGUGUAAUUAGACUACAAUCUGUAGGCCUAAAGUUGAAGGAGGUCUAGGUAUUAGACAGAUUGCUUUGAUGAAUAAAGCACUGUUAGCAAAACAGGUGUGGCGUCUCACAACCAACCCCAAUCUACUAAUCACCAAGGUUUUCAAAGCAAAAUAGUGCAAAAAUAAAGAAACCCUUGAGGCAUCUGACUCGUGGAUUUGGAAAGACAUUCUAAAAAGGAGACAAGUGUGUAAGUUAGGAACGAUAUCCAACUUUGGAGUGGGGAUUCUUGUUAAUUAUUGGAGAGAUAACAAUAUUAUUUUUCGUGAAAGAUAUAACACCAUGAUGGCCGUAAAAGAUUUGCUGAAGAACAAGGGUAUAUGAUUGAGAUGAUCUAAGAAUUAGAACAAUGUUGAGGAAGUGACCUGAAAGGAGAUUAUCUGAUAUUGCAAUUGUCUUUGCAGGUAGGUAAACAAUUGGAGAAAGGAAUGUGGCUAAUGAAGGAGCUGUGUUUGAAUCUCCAACAUUUACAACUUCAUUUAUUCUUAAAUUACAAAAUUUUAUAUACUAUGUUCAUAUGAUCUGACAUGAAUAUAUAUUAAGUAUCUACUAUGUUUAAAUUUGGUAGUUAGUUUUCUUAUUUUAAUUUGGCAUCAUUUGAUAUCUCUAUCCUUAUAAUAUCAUUAUUUAGUUAAAAUAGUUAACACUAUUAAUUGUUGAGGUUUAAAUUUUUUUUUCUUAAAAACAUCUAUUUCAACACGAAAAAGAAUACAUAUCAAACAUAAUAAAUUAAAAUGAGUAUUUUUAAGAAAAAUUUGCAUAGACAUUUAAUCGAAAUAGUUUAAUAAUAUUAUUAUUUAUUUGAACUAACUAAUAAGUUAAAUAAUAAAAAGACCAAGUUAAAUAAUAAUAAGUUAAAUUUCAAAUUUAAAUACAAGAAAAGGAUGAAAACCAGAAUUUGACCUUAAAAUUACAAUAUCAAAUAUUAAUAUUUUCUUAGUGUCUGCAGCUUUCUUCAAGGGCCUAAUAAACCUGGGCUAGGUUUUUUGGUUCACAAUCAUGUGUCAAUGCAUUAAGGUUCUUCAAUUUUGUAGUUACGGGUUUGGACUUUCGGCUCACAAUUACUAAAGUGGAAGUCCCACGAAGCCUAAUAUUAUUUUUAGGAUCGAAAUUGAGUUUUGUAAUUUUUUAGAGCAUUUUCAUCACUAUAUUAAUUCUUAUCUUAUUUUUAAAGAAUUAAAUUAAAAUUUUGUUAUUCUAGUUUAGGGAAGAGGAGAAGCUUGGAGGCUUGUAGUAGCCUUGGCUCUCCUAAAGAUGAAAAAUUUUAAUUCAAUCCCUUUAGAAAUCAUAAAAUUACAUAUUAAUCUAUGAUAAAAUUGUUCUUUAACCUCUUUAAAUAUAAAAAAAAAAUCUAUUUAGCUCCUUAAAAAAUAAUAGAAUUAUAAGUUAAUACACCAUAAAGUUAACAAGGUAUAAUAUUUCUAAUAGUUUUUUUGGUUUUUUCCAUGUCAAUUUUACUAUUUAUAUUUGGGGAUUAUGAUUACCCCUCUUAACAAUAUCAUAUCAAAUAAUCAAAUUUAUAUUCUCCGUUAAAAAUACAAUGUGCCUGACUAUUGUUUAUCAUAGAAAUACAAGUUCUGUAAAUGUGGUUAAUGAAUUUUGUUGAGGAAUUAUUUCAUAUAUUUUCAAUGAAGUUUGAGGAGUUUAUAAACAAAAUUAGUAAAAUCACAUUCAUUUGAAAAUUUUGUAUUUGAAAUUCUUUUAGGUAUUAAAGAAAAAAUUUGGAUUUGGAUUUUGCAUAUCCAAUAUCAGUUUUAUAUAGCGUAAACUUAAAAUUGCCCAUAUGAUUUGAGUUUGUAAUUUUGUGGACCAAUUUAAUUUCACUAGAAAUCCCCCAAAAUUAGCACUUUCAUUUUAAAUUUGUCCCUAAAUUUUAAAACAUUUUAAUUACAUCUUUAAAUUAUUAAUGUAAUAUUAAUAAGGUCUUUCCGUUACUAAAAUCAUUAAUUUAAUUAUUAAAUGAGACAUCAAAUCUUAUGUGAUAUAAUUUAAAAUGAAAAUUUUAAAGCAAAAUAAAUAUUGUAAAAAUCUUGGUUUUGAAAUUUUUUAAACUUUUACAAAAACUGCCAUUCACUUUCUCUUUUUUCAGUUUUACUUUAUUUUUAGUUUUUAGUUUUAAAAAUUAUGCAAUAACAUUUUAUUUUUCUUUAAAAUUUUCAUUUUAAAUUGUGUCACAUAAAAUUUUACGUGUCAUUUAGUGGUUAAAAUUAACUGUUUCAAUAAUGGAAGGACCUUAUUGAUUUAACAUCGAUAGUUUAGAGAUGUAAUUAGACUAUUUUAAAAUUUGGGAACCUAUUUAGAAUGAAGAUCAUAAUUUAGAGGCGUUUAAUGCAAUUAACUCAUCUUUUAAUACAAUUCUCAGUGAUACUAAAAAAUCCUUCGAAAUCUUGAAUAGAAGAAUAAUAUAUGUUUGAGUUUGUUUGAACCCACGUUUUUGUAGUUAUUACAAUAACAAUAUCCGUUGAACUAAAACUGAAUCGAAUUUGUGAAUUAACUUAAAAUUUUGAGAAUAAAAAUACAAAAACUAGUUAAUUGUAUGCAACUUAAAUGAUAAUUUUGUAUUAAUCAGAUGAUUGGUGAAUUAAAUCAAAAUCAAACAUACAUGGGAUAUAAAAUAUGCUAUCAAAAUCAAGCAUAUAUGUGAUCUAUAUCACAAUCACCAAUAUAUGUGAUCAAAAUAUGCUAUCAAAAUCAAGCAUAUAUGUGAUCCAUAUCACAAUCACCAAUAUAUGUGAUCAAAAUCACAAUCACAAUCACCAAUAUAUGAUGACUCAGCUGGACUAUGAGAUUGAUAUUUUAAAAGAAAAAGGAGUAGAUUACAUCUGGCUAGGUUUUUUUUUUUUUUUAACUUUUUGAAAGAUUUUUGAAGAAUAUUGGUGCAUGCAAUAAACCAUAGAUAAUUAUUGGACAUGAACUGCUGGUCCAUCUCUUCGCCUCUCUUUAUUCCAUUAUCAAGGCUUUGUCCUCGUAUCUUACCUCCAGUGAGGAAAGAGGAGAAAAAAAUUUGAGAAGGGCUAAUUACGAUAUAUAUUCUUAUGAGAAUUAAGAUAUAAUUUUAUCGUUACAUUGAUUAUAUUUUUACAAUUUUUAAAAAAAUUAAAUUGAAAUUUUAUUAUUUUUUAGGCCAAAUUAUAAAUUCAGCAUGAAAUAAUUCAUAAAUUUAUAAAAUCUAAAACAAAAAAUUUCAAUUUUGGGUACACCAAGGCCCCUGCUUACCUCAAGGAUAAAAUUGAUAAAAUUGAAGUUGUGAAAAUUUCGAGAAUCUUACCUUUUGUGUAAUUUUCUUUAGAUUUAUUUUGAUUAAUUAAUAUUUAUAAUAAUUGAUUGUAUAUAAUUUAGACUUAAUCAAAAUAAAAUAAGAUAAAAAUGUUAAAAUGUGCUAUUUUUCUCAAAUUUAGAAUUUAGUCUCUUUAUUUUUUGGAUUUCAAAAUUCAAGUCAAAUUUUUAACAUUAUUAUCAUUCUUCUUCUUCUUCUUUUGUUAAAUUAGUUAGUGUAACAUUUUAAAAUAAAAUAAAAAACUCAUUUAAUAGUAAUGUAAUUAAAAAAAUGAUGUUGUCGAAUUUAAUAAAAUAAACAAUGUUAACUGUUAGACCUAAAAUUUAAAAUCUAAAAAAUAUAUGGAUUAAUUUUAAAAAUAAAAAUAUAAAAUUAAAAUUUUAAAUUUACAAAGAAUAUGAAAUUUUUUAAUGAAAUUAAAAAUUAAAUGGUUGGAAGAAUUCUUCUGUUAUCUUUUUAGCUGGAUGUUAAUAGAUUAGCCGAUCAAAAUCUGACAUGUUGCACCAACGUCUCAAUUUCCUAAAAGGAAACCCGCCUUUGAAUCUUUCCACUUUUAGAUUUUUAGAUUUAAAUUUAAUCAUUUGAAUUUUUUGUAUCCAUUACUUCCCAAAUUUGAUUACUAUUAUUUACUUCUCUUUUUUACUUUUGGCCAUAUUUUUCUAUUAUUUUUCCCCUCCAUCUUUAAAUUUUUGUCAAAUUAUUUUUUAUUGGAAAAGUUUAUUGAAAUUUUUAAAAUUUUAAUAGCACUGACGUGACCUAAAAAAUAAAGAAUUAAAAUUAAAAUGAUAAAAGAGGUCAAUUUUAAAAGUUAUAUUUUUUUUUUGUAAAUUGAGUAUUUUCCCCCUAGUUAUAGAAAGGACCUUUGAAAGGUAUUUGAUCAAACAAAUUUGCCCAAAAUUUAACUUAAAAUAAAAAGUUUAGUAUCGGUUUACUCCGUAGAGACCAACAUGACUAAAGUUGUAAAGAUUGAAGAUUAAAUUUAUUAAUAUGCUUUAUAUAUAAAAAUAUAAAAAAAAUAAAUAUUUAACAGCAUAAUUUUAUCGAAACAACUAUUUUACUCUUUAACGUAUAAAAAUCAAUUUAUUUAUUUUUCAAAUAAAAAAAACUAAAAUACAAUUUAGAAUAUGAUGACUUCUACGAUACUUUUACCAUUAAAUGCUAUAUAUAAAAUAAAAGAUAAAAGUAAUAAAAUAAGGUUUAAAAUAAAGCAACAUUUAAUCCUUAAUCUAAUAAACUUUUUCAAAUUAAUCCUAAACUUUGUUUUUAAAUACAUAUUAAUCCAGCAACUUGAGAACUUCCCCGUCAAGGUAAAAAAGUACAUAAAGUGGAUGCGAGUUUAUGGUGUCCCUUUUCCAAAGGAACUUCUGUUGGAGAUUGUGCAUGACUGACAGCCAUAACUGGGAACUAGCUUCUGUUUCUUUUGGAAUCAAAGCUUUCUUUUGUUAUUUUUUUUACCUUGACCUCAUAUAUUCUUUUAGGAUAUAUCUAUGUAAAAAGCUUCGAAUAUGUGAAUGGUCAAUUUAUUUUUCCAAAUAUAUUGUUUUUUAUUGAUUUAUGGUAAAUUUAUUAAAUUAAUCCUUCUACCAUUAAAUAGAUCAAUUCAAUUUUUGUUUAUUAAAAAUAAUCAUUUUAGUCAUGUAAUUUUCGAAAUUGGUUAGUUUCACUUCCUAUAUUUUUUCAAUUUUAAAAUUUUAAUCCUAACUAAAACUAUAGUAGUUAAAUUCAUUGACUGAUUUUUUUUUCUAAGUGAUAUAUAGAAAUAGAAAGCUAACAUGAUGUUACAUACAUGAGCGAAUCUAAAAACCUUUUUAGGAGGGCCGAAAUUGAAUAAUAAAUUUUUGAGAUAUCAAAACAUAAUUUUAUAAUGUAUUAGUUUAUGAUGUCAUCAUUUUUCAAGGGAUUAAACAUAAUUUUCUUUAUUUUUUGGGACCAAAUUGUAAUUUUAUCAUAAAUUAAUUUUUAAUUUCAUUUUAUAGGAGAUUUAAAUAGCAAAUUUUUCAUUUGAAGGGUAGGGGGCAAGACCUUUGCCUGCCUACCUCCCUCAUAUUUGUUUCUAGUUUGAUAAUAUGUUUGCUGGAUAAGAUUUUAGAAAUAACACAACUCAGUAAAUUUAAUAAGUAUCGUUUGGCCAAAAUUGAAAUUUCACAAAUAAAAGAAUAGAAAAACUAAAAAUGACUAAAUUAAAAUGGAUGAACUAAAUCCAAAACUUACACAUAAUAUAGAGACUAAUAGAAAAUGUAACCAUUUGUUUGUCAUCAUUCUUUUUGUAAAAUUGGUGAUAAGAUGGACCCUCAAGGCGAAGCCUGAACAAAUUUUAGGGGGCAAAAUAAAAUUUUAAUUUUUUAUAGUCUAUAUCUUUAUAAUUUUUAAAGGAUUAAAUCAAUUUUUUAUAAAUUUUAAGGGGUCAAAGUAUAAUUUUACUUUUAUUAAUUUAAAAUUUUAAAAAAAAUUUAAGGAUGUAUAUAGAAAUUUUACAUUUUAAGAGGCAGGGGUUAAGACACCUGCCACCCACCCCCAAAAUCCGCCUCUGUGGACCCUCGCACCAACUUUGGGAUUUUUAGCUGGUUCCGAAAAUAAGAGAUCGACCACAAGAAAAAUACCCUAACAUUAUUAUAGUUCAUUCAUUUGAGUCACUAUCACUACUCUCAACAUUGUAAAGCAAAUUUGUAGUCCUCACAAAAAGUAUUGGGUCAAACCUGUUACUUCCUCAUCACCUUUUCCAUGGAAUUUGUAAGAUUAUUAGAUUUGGAUAUACUUAUCUUUUAGGGACCAACUUGAAUUUAUUAACCAAAUAUAUCUGUGAAUUGUGUGGAAUCCCAAUCAGCCCUUUUUUUAUCGAUUUUUUUAAUUACAUCUUUUUUUUGUGUGUGUAAGUUUGAAAAUUCAAAAAUUAAUAACUGACUAAAAUAAUCAAUAAAAUCAAAUCCAUAAUUAAAAUAAUCACCCAAAUCGAUUAAGUUGAUUUAGUUGAUUUUAACCGGAAAUUGUUCUCUCGUAAAAAUGUCAAUUGAAUUUAGAUAAGUAUAUUCUCAAUUAGGUGUUUGUUCAGUUGGCACCUAAUAUCUUCCAUAUUAGAAAUUAAAGAAUUAUGAAUAGUCUAAAAGAAAUUCUUAGAUUAAGAUCUUGUUUGAUAAAGUAUUAUAAAUCAAUUGAAAAAAUUAGUAUUUUUAAUUAUUUAAUUUUUUACACGUGUUAGAUCAUUCAAAAUAAAAAAAAAUCUCAUAAUUCUUUUACUAAAAAAGUAUGAAGAUGAUAAUACUUAUUGAAGAAUAUUUUCAAUUAAUUUAUUUUAAUAUAAUAUUAUCCUAUAAAAAAUUAUGUCUAGAAUUAAUUUUUUAUUUAAAAUAAAUAUAUAAUAUCUUAUAUAUAUUUAAAAAUCGAAAAUGCAACACUACUUUAUUAAAACCUAAAAUCUAUAAAAUUCUGAAAUUAUCCUAAUAUAAAAUAUUUUCAUAAAUUGGACCACCGAAUCAAGCUGGCAUAGGCAGCAUCAAAAAGUCAAGAUAUAGUCUUGCCAGCACACUCUUCUAUUUUACAUGUUCCUAUUUAUAUAUUUUUUAAUAUUCUUUUGAAGUUUGGGAAAUUCUUAUUUAGUUUUUUCAGAAAUUUUUAAAAUAAUUAAAUAAUUUUCUUUUUCAAAAUUUUAAAAUUAAAUCAAUCGCGAUUCGACUUAUUUAAUCACUUUCAAAAAUUACAGUUUAAUACUUUUAAAUAACCAAUUUAUUAAAUUUUAAAAUAAUAUUUACACCUAAAAUAUUAAUGGUUAUGAUCUUGCCAUAAAUUACAUCGAUAGUUACCCAAUUAUUGAUAAGUUUAUUUUUUAUCAUUCUAUUAUGAAAAAUUAUAAAAUAAUCACUCAACUAUCCGAUUUUUUCUUUUUUUGUCAUCAACUUUUAAUGACUAACUAAAAGAUAACAGAACAGUUUUUAAAUUUGAAAUUAUAACAACUUUAACCCUCAACAUUUAAACAUUAUAUCAAAUAAGUUUUUAUUCUAAAAAGUGUACCCCUCAACAUUUUCUUUGAAAGAAAAAGCCAUUUAGCAACUUCAUAAAUUCAUAGAGUCUACAAUUACAGGACCAUGUGGCCCAUAGGGGUAGUCCACACCAAACCGAUUUCAUCAACCACAUUUGCACAUUGCGUAAUUUAAUUUUUUUUUAUAGUUUUACUUUUCUAUAUGACCCUUACACUUAAAAAGAUACAAAAAAUUAUCAGCUAAAUUUGAUUGAAUAUAUAUCAAAAAUGAAAACACCCAAAAGUCUAAGAUAGUAAUUUUCAUAUUUUCUCAUUUUCUUAAAAUUAACUCUCAAUGUCACAAAUAAAAUCAAAACUACAAAAAAAAUCAAAUUACAUGAUGUGUAAAUGUUGAUGGUUAAUUUUUUCAGAAUAAAGAUUCCUAUUAGACCAAUUUUUCCAAAACAACCAGUGACCAAAAUGUUAGAUUUAUAAAAUAAAUCUAAAAUAAAACUUAAUAAACUAGGAUCUGUCAUGUCAAAUCAUCAAGAAUAAAUUAAGAACAAAAAUAGAUGCGGAAGCGUACCUAAAUCCAUGGAUUCCUUGAAAUUUUCUGAAUCUUGGAGAUUUGAUCUUCCAAAUUAGCACACAAGAAAUUCAGAGAAUAUCUGCUCUCUCUUUCCUAAUGAUGGGAUAUUAGAAAAGAUAUCUUGUGUGUAAUUUGGGGACCAUAAUCCUAAUAUUUAUAACCUUGGUAUAUUAGUUCUAAUCAAAUUCUAAUUAGCCCAUCAUUAAUUAGAAUUUAUUAGAAUAGUGUCUACACAUAUUUGACCUAUGCUUUAUUUAAUAAUUAAAAGCCUAAUAAAAUUCUAACCAAAUUAGAUCACUUUUAAUUUGGGCUAACCUAUCAUGAUAGUAAAUAAUAUGUAAUUAUCCUUAUUAUAUAUGUGAUGUCCAAAUUUUCCAACAAUCUCCCACUUGGACCACAUAUAUAUACUAAUUACUUUAUAAUUACAUGCCAUUAUAUAACCUUAUGAGCUCAAAAUUUUACUAUCAUAUCCAAAAGGCAUUCCGAACAAUCUCGUCCAUUAAUUAUGUUAACAUAGAACCAAUGCGACUUUCGUUACAAAUAUCAUAACUAAAUCCAUCCAUGAUUACGUAUAUUAACACAACCAAAUGACAUAGAUCAAGCAUGGAUGUGUAGCAUGGAAAUUUCAUGCAAUAUGAUCUAAACAUGUCUAUUUCCAAUUGGUCCUCUUUAAACUUAAGUGAGAUCAAUUUCAAAAUAAUAAACAGAGUGAAUAAACUGAAUACUUCAUUUCUGAUCAGAAGAUAACCAAAUACAUAAAUUUCUGAAAUAUAAACUCCCACUAAAUCAUGAUAUCCUCAAACAAUGUAACACCCAUGUGAACAGUGUGGUCAUGAAAGACCUUGGGUGGUAAACCUUUUGUGAGCGGAUUCGCUAUCAUGGAGUUUGUCCCAAUGUGCUCUAUGAAUAUUUGACCAUUUUGCACUCUUUCUCUUACAACUAGGAACUUUAUGUCAAUAUGCUUUGUCUUUCAUCCUGUUGUUAUUGGAAUACAGCACUGCUGACUUAUUAUCACAAAAUAAUUUGAGUAGUCUUUCUACAUUCUCCAAAAUACGCAGCCCUGUAACAAAUUUCCGCAACCAUAUUCCAUGGUUUGAUGCCUCAUAACAUGAUACAAACUCUGCUGCCAUAGUGGACGAAGCUACAAGUGUAUGUUUGACACUUUUCCAAGAUAUAGCUCCUUCGACUAACAGGUAAAUAUAACCUGAUGUAGAUUUCCUACUAUCUUGGCAUCUAGCAUUUGAAUCAGAAUACCCUACGACUUUUAAAAGAUCUGAUCUCUUAUAAGUAAGUAUGUAAUCUUUUAUUCUCUGAAGAUAUCUCAUAACCCUUUUGACUGCUAUCCAAUGGUCUAUACCAAGGUUGCUUAAAUAUCUGCCUAACAUCUCAACAAUGUACGCAAUGUCCGGACACGUACAUACUUGAACAUACAUUAAACUCCCAACAGCUGAUGCAUAAGGAAUCUUUUGUAUUUCCUGAAUUUCAAGGUUACUUUUAGGGCAUUGAGUAAGACUAAAUUUGUCUCCUUUAGCGAUAGGGGUGUCACCUGGUCUACAACUCUGCAUACCAAACCUUUUGAGUACUUUAUCAAUAUAGUUAUUUUGUAAUAAUCCAAGAAUACCUCUAGAUUGAUCUCGAUGUAUCUGAAUUCCUAAAACUAAAGAGGCAUCCCCAAGAUCUUUCAUCUCAAAAUGCUUGGAUAAAAACCUCUUGGUUUCGUGCAAUAAGCCUAUAUCAUUAGUGGCAAGCAAAAUGUCAUCAACAUAUAGAACCGGAAAUAUGUACUUACUCUCAUUGAAUUUGUGAUACACACAAUAAUCAACAAUAUUCAUCUCAAAACCAAACGAAACAAUUAUUUGAUGAAACUUGUAGUACCAUUGACGAGAAGCUUGUUUGAGUCCAUAGAUGUAUUUUGUCAAUUUGCAAACCAUAUUCUUUGAGUCUUUCGACUCAAAACUUUCUGGUUGCACCAUAUAAACUAUUUCUUCAAUGCCUCCAUUAAGAAACUCAGUCUUAACAUCCAUCUGAUGUAACUCAAGAUCAAAAUGAGCAACAAGCGCCAUGAUUAUUCUGAAGGAGCCUUUCGAUGAAAUUGGAGAGAAAGUUUAUGUAAAAUCAAUACCUUCUUUCUGAGUAUAUCCUUUAGCUACAAGAUGCGCCUUAUACCUCUCCACAUUACCAUUUGCAUCACUCUUGCUUUUAAAUAUCCAUUUACAACCAAUUGGUUUUGCACCUUCAGGUAAUGGGACAAGUUCCUAAACUUUAUUGUCUUGCAUAGAUUCAUACUCAUCUUUCAUGGCAUCAAUCAAUUUUUGAGAAUUAAAACUUUUCAUAGUUUGAUGAAAGUUGAUUGGAUCAUCUUCUAUCAUUCCAUUAUCAUCCUCAUGUUCUUGGAGAAAUACAAUAUAAUCAUCUAGAAUAGCAUUUCUCCUUUCUCUUAUGGACUUCCUUAAUUACACUUGUUCUAGAGGUUGUUGAGUUUGUUCUUCUAGAACAAUUACCUCAUUUUGAAUGGGGAAUUGUUCAACAUUGUCUUGUAGAGGUUCUGGAUUCACUUCUUGAUCAAUGAUAGGUAUAAAAACUUGAACAUCGUCAAAAGUGAUAGUAGGAAUUGAGUUAGAAUCCAAUUCCCCCUCAAAAUCAAUGUCUCUAACCUUAUUUCUCCCCCCAAACUCAACAUCCUCAAAAAAUGUUAUAGUUCCUGUCUCAAAAAUAUUUCUUAUUAUGGGAUCAUAAAAUUUAUAGCCCCUAGAUCGCUCAGAAUAACCAAUAAAGUAGCUGCUUACUAUUUUGGAGUCUAAUUUCUUUUCAUGUAGCCUAUAAGGCCUUACCUCAGUUGGAUAUUCCCAAAUGUGAAAGUGCUUUAAACUAGGCUUUUUACCUGUCCAAAGCUCAUAAGGUGUUUUUGUAACUGUUUUAUUGGGUACUCUAUUCAGAAUAUAAGCUGUUGUUUUUAAUGCUUCUCCCUAGAGGGACUCAGGUAAGGUAGAAUGAGCAAUCAUGCUCCUUACUAUAUCUUUAAGAGUUUUAUUUCAUCUUUCAGCUACACCAUCCAUACUAGGUGAUCCUAGCAUGGUGUACUGUGGGACAAUACCGCAUUCCUCUAGGAAUUUCGCAAAUAGUUCUGGACAUUGUUCAUCUGAGCCAUCAUAUAUACUGUAGUAAUCACCACCACGAUCAAAUCUGACAUUUUUAAUCCUUUUGUUGAGUUGAUUCUCAACUUCAGCUUUAUAAGUUUUGAACAUGUCCAAAGACUGAGAUUUCUCAUUAAUGAGAUAUAGGUACCCAUAACGUGAGUAAUCGUCUAUGAAUGUUAUAAAAUAUUGUUGACCAUUCUAGGAUGUCGUAGGAAAUGGCUCACAGAUAUCUGUAUGAAUUAAUUCUAAGAUGUCUGAAGAUCUGUUUGCACCCAAUCUCUUGGUUUUGGUCUGUUUUCCUUUAAUACAAACGGCACAGACAUCAAAGUCUGUGAAGUCAAGGGACUCUAAAAUACUAUUAGACACAAGGCGUUCAACUUUAACUUUUGAGAUAUGACCCAAGCGUCUAUGCCAUAAUGAUGCUGAAUUUUCCUUAUUUAAUUUGCGUUUAAUACCAUGUGAUUCCACAUGCAAGGUUUCAUUAUAGGAUGCAACUGUUUCUAGCAAAUAAAGGUUGUUAUAGGUAUUUAAAUAACCAGUUCCAAUAACAUUUGAAUUUAAAGACAAAUUAAAUUGAUUGUUUCCAAAUGAACAAUAAUAUCCAAAUUUGUCCAACGAAGAAACAGAAACUAAAUUCCAUCUAAAUGACGGUACAACAAAAGUGUCUUUUAAAUCCAAAUAAAAACCAGUUCCUAAUAGCAACCUAAAAUGCCCAAUUGCUUCCACUUCUACCGAUUUUCCAUCCCCCACAAAGAUGUGUCUUUCAACCUCACUUGGCUUUCAGUAACUCAAGCAACCCUGCAUAGAAACACUUAUGUGAGUAGUAGCACCAGAAUCUAUCCACCAAGUGUUUCUAGGUACUGAAGCUAAAUUAAUCUCAGAACAGACCAAAUUAAAAAUUAUACAUUUCUUUACACGAUGAUAUUUGGUACAAUCUUUCUUUACGUGUCCAGACUUAUUACAAAAGAAAAAACUCUUUGUAGCUUGUUGUUGUUUCUUUUGAGCUGGACCCUUAGCAGCUUCAUUCUGAUAUUUUUUUUCCUUGCCCUUCUCCUUACGGGUAUUGGCCAAAUGAGUACUUUCAGACUUAUCAAGCUUCAACCUUUCUUCCUCUUGCACACAAUGAGAAAUGAGAUCAUUUUGGGUCCAUUUCUCCUUUUGACAAUUAUAACUAAUUUUAAAUUGGUUAAACUGUGUAGGAAGCGAUAUCAAAACCAUAAGAACAAGCAAUUCCUCAAAAAGCUCGAUCUUAAGUUCCUUAAGUCUUGAAGCAGUAUGGAACAUCUCCAUAAUUUACUCCAUUACAUUUCCUUGACCUUUAUACUUCAUAGACAUCAAAGAAGUCAAAAGUGAUGUCAUCUCAACUUUAUCGUUUUUAGCAAAACAUUUCUCAAUUUUAUAAAGGAAACCUUUGGCCUGAGUAAUCUCUUCAGAUUUUGUGCCCCUAAAGGCUUCUGGAAUGCUGUGUUUCAUGAUCAUUAGACUCAUGCGAUUUGAACGAUCCUACCUCUCAAAGUCCCCCUUAAUAUUAGAGGUGCUUUCCGCAGUGAGAGGUACAGGUUGUUCUUCCCUUAGUGCAAGGUCUAUGUCCAUACAGCCAAGCACUAUAAGUAAGUGCCUUUUCCAUUCCUUAAAAUUAGUUUCAUUAAGCAUGGGUAUAGAAUUUAUACUAGCAGAUAUUGUGGCAGCAAAAAAUGAAUUAGCUGAAUAGAGAACAAAAAACAAGCUUAAAUCAAGAUUCAUAAGUAAACAAUAAAUUCAAGAUAAUGGCUAAUCCCAUCUUAAGAUACCAAACACUACAUUAAUAUCAAGUCUUUGGACAGUAAUAUUAAUAGUAAGCGGUACUCUUGUUGUAGCAAUCAAACAUUGAUAAUAAACUAUAUAAAACAAUGAAUUAAUCUUUGGACUAACUUAUUGCUCACAUAAAAUACCUUAUAAUUGUCACACAUUUAUCACCACAAAUGUCGUUGUAAUUCUGCCAAAUAUUAACUUACCUUUGGGUCAAUCAAUAAACGCAUGAAUUACAAAAACAUAUAACCAUCUUAACAUUUCAAAUAAACUAAUCUACACAAAAUAGGUCACUUUGGUGGCAUUUUGUUUCAAAUAAUUUAUUUAAAAUAUUAGACAUCCUUAAUUAAAAGUCAAAAUCUGAAUUUAUUUGUUCCAAAACAUUUACCUUAAUUUUAUCUUUCAAUCAAAUUAAAAGAUAUAUAUUUAUAUAAUUUUCCAAAACCACAUACAUUAAACCAAUCAAAGCAUGCAUAUAUUAUAUAUUUAUAUAUAUAAACAAAACAUAUAUAUGAAUCAAUUUCUAUAUAUACAUUUAUAUAUAUUUUUAAAUGUCAUAUAGGAUUAAAAUAAUGAUAAUCACAUGGCUUGCAAAUAUACAGGAACUGAAUCGCAAUAUUUUCAAAUAAAGCUUAAAAACGUAGGUAUCAAAUAAUAUUAUACAAAUAUUUUAAACUUUAUAAUUGAAUCUAUUAAUUCGAAAAUCACCCAAUUUUUUUUAAAAUAAGAAUUCAAGAUAAUAAAAAACUUUAAUAUAAAUCUUCAAAAAACAACAUAUAUAUUCGAAAUAUAAAACCCAUGAAAUUUUAUGAAUCAAUUAUUCAAAUGAAGAACCUGAACCAAUUCCCAAUGAUUUGAUAUGACGAGGUUUUGAUACCUCUUGUUAGAUUUAUAAAAUAAAUCUAAAAUAAAACUUAAUAAACCAGGAUCUAUCAUGUCAAAUCAUCAAGAAUAAAUCAAGAACAAAACUAGAUGAGGAAGCCUACCUGAAUCCAUGGAUUCUUUGAAACUUUCUGGAUCUUGGGGAUUUGAUCUUCCAAAUUAGCACACAAGAAAUUCAGAGAAUAUCUGCUUUCUCUUUCCUAAUGAUGGGAUAUUAAUAAAAAAGAUAUAUUGUGUAUAAUUUGGGGACCAUAACCUUAAUAUUUAUAACAUUGGUAUAUUAGUUCUAAUCAAAUUUUAAUUAGCCCAUCAUUAGUUAGAAUUUGAUUAGAAGAGUAUCUACACAUAUUUGACCUAUACUUUAUUUAAUAAUUAAAAGCUCAAUAAAAGUCUAACCAAAUUAGAUCACUUUUAAUUUAGGCUAAUCUAUCAUGAUAGUAAAUAAUAACAUGUAAUUAUUCUUAUUAUAUAUGUGAUAUCUAAAUUUUCCGACACAAAAAAAAAGUUGAAUAGUUAAGUGGUUAUUUUGUAAUUUUUAUAGCUUAAUAACUAAAAAAAAGUGUAAUUUACCUAAAGGAAAAAGAACCUUUCACUUUACUGCUUUCUAGAACCAGAUAUUUUUCUAAUUGGCUGUCAAAAUAAAACAGAGAAUGAAUCCGGAUAUUUCGCCUAUAUAUGUUCUUUACUAUUAACCCAAGGUUUUCACAAAUAUAUAUAUAUAUACAUAUAUACAUACAUGUUUUACAACAUAUUGUUUCCAGCAAUGAAUCCAAACUCUGUGGAGCUUAGCUUGAGUUUUAAGCCAUUAUAUGUGCCUAAAUCUUUAAGCAGCUUGUUCUUAGAUUUAUCAAAAAUUGAUAAUCAGUAUUAUAAGUUAUCUGUGUUGAGUGAUUAUAUUUGCAAGCUUGAAGAAGAGUUAGCUAGGGUUCAGCCUUUAAAACAUCUUCCUCAAUGCACUCUUCUUCUAAUGGAGGGUAAGUAUAAUCUAUAAUUCAUGUUUAAUUAUUAAUUAUUAAUUCAAAGAUAUAUGUUUUCUUCUAUGUCAUGAUUACAUGAUUGUUUUUUGAAAUGUAUAGCAAUCGAAACAUUGAAAGUGGAAUUCACAAACAUCAAGAAUAAUCUGAAAAAUAAUGAGAAAGAAGGAGAAAGGGAAACCCAGAAAAUUAUUAGUACAUGCAGUGCUACAGAAGAACACCAUGGAAAUUCUCAGGUAAUGGAUAAAAGAAUUUAGCUUUCAAUGUAUGUAUGUAUGUAUGUAUGUAUGUAAAUAUAAGACUCUUUGCAGCCAUGCAAAGAGAAGGGAAACAACAUGGAAGGGUUAAUGAUGGCAUACAAGGAGAAUAGUACUUGGAAUUGUGUUGGAGCAUCAAGCAGUAGUGGAAAAGAAAAGGAAGUGGCAGCCAUUGAUGAAUAUUCAUGGAGAAAUGAUGAAACUUUUGAUUGUAAUUAUGAUCAUCAUCUUCAUCAACACCAUCACCUAAAGCCAUUGACACAACCCAUUUGGAAGAACAAUAGGAGGUGUUGGUCUUUUGAGCUUCAUUCAAGGUUUGUGGAGGCUUUGAAUAUGCUUGGAGGCAUUGAAGGUCAGAACUUAAAACAUCACAAAUAUAUAUAUAAGUGAAAAAAUUUAUGUUUAUUAAAAAUUUAUAUAAUAAUUAAAUGAACCUUUGGUUUGCUAUUGCAGGUUUAAAUUUUACUAUAAAUAUCCUUAUAAUAUUAUGAUUUAUUUUGAAAAAAAAUAUUUUUUUUAACAUAGAUCAGUUUGUGCAUGGAUGCAUGGGUUUCAUUGUUUUUUUUAAGUGAUUUGAAUAUUUUUCUUUUUUUUUUUUGGGAGAUAUAUCAAUUUGUGAGGAGUUAGGGGCUAGUAGGUGUCCGUUUUUCCUAAAAAGAUUUUCUUUUCAUUUAGAUUCUUUAUAAUUUAUAAAUUAGUAAUAGUAAAAUUAUAAUUUAUUCUUAAAAAUGAUAAAAAUUCUUUAAAAAUUAUAAAGAUAUAGAGUAUUAAAAUGAUAAAAUUAUAAUUUUAUUAUCGUAAAAAUAUAUAAUUUAUUCUGCCCAAAAAAAAAUUCUGACUCUGCCACUAUGUGUAAUUAUUCAAAACACGGGUGGUAGAAAAUUUUAGCUUUACAGCUGGAAUCGAGAAUUUGUUACAUGUCCUAAUUAUUUAUUUUUUUAAAAAAAUUCAACAUAAUUUUAAGACACAUUGCAAAAUCUCAACAUCAAUUAUAAAAUUUAAAAUUUCCACCACCAGUCCUAAUAAUUUUGAUUUUCUUUUUCUUUUUUUUUCAUUUUGGGCAUGCAGUGGCUACUCCUAAGCAAAUCAGGGACUUGAUGCAAGUUGAGGGAUUGACAAUUGACCAAGUAAAAAGUCAUCUGCAGGUUAAAUUCAAUCUUUUAAGCUUUAAUUAAUAAUGCAUGCAUUAUAUUAUAUAUAGUUCCAAAAAAAAAAGAAAAAAAAGUAAAAUUUUAAGGCAAAAAUAAAAAUUAUAAUUACAAGUAAUUCAUAUAAUUAUAAUUAAACACAAAUGAAAUAAUCAUUAUAAUAACACAUUCGUAAAAUUAUGAUUAGAAUCAAAUCAUUGCAUGCACAUAUAAAAGGAUUGAUAAUCGGACUUAAAUCAAAAUAAAACUAAACAAAUAAAAUUGAAUUUAAAAUAAAAUCUACAUCUACAUAAAUACUUAUAAUUAAACUUAAACUUUUACUAACACUACCAAAAUAGUAAAAAUUAUAUGGGUACAAUUCUUUUGCUUAAAAAAAUGUUGUUCAAUAUAUGCAUCUACAAAUUAAGAUUUAUAAAUGCCAAAAUAAAUAACUCAAAACAUGAUCAUCUUUGAAAAGGUUUGUUUUUUCUCAACCAAACAUUUUAUUGAUUCAAAAUAUGAUACUUUUUUUAAUUACUUCAAACGGCUUUUUGCAUUUUAUCAAAGCUAUUAUUAUAUUUAAAUUUGUUAAUUGUUUUUGUAAACAAGAUAUUAGUUUUUACAUGCUAUCGAUUGAGUUUGAUCGAGUUUUUCAUUUUAAUUAAUUUUUAUAUUAUAAAAUUAUAUUUUCAUCCUUAUUAUAUAAAAAGAACUUAAACCAAAUUUAAAACUUAAAUUUUGAUGUUUGGUCUAACACAAACUUAACAUAAAACCUCAAACUUUAAUUUGAACUCUAUUUCAAACUUUUAAAUUUAAAUUCAGCUCGAUUAGAUUACACUUAAUUGAGUAAAGAGAGUCUAAGUGAACACUUACCUUCAAAUAUCAGCUAAUUAAAUCCAACAUUACAAUAAGUUAACAUAAUUAACAACAUUUAAAUUAUAACAAUGAUUUAGCAAAAACAUAAUGUUAAUUUGAAGUAUACCUAAUAAAUGUUGUACAUGCUCUCAUAGUGGAUGUUUUUCCGUAAACUAAUAGCUAAAUAUUUUUCAAUUAAAUUGUUGUUGAAACAAUUUACAAAAACAAAUUAUUGAAUGUGUAUGUCAAUUUUAUGAGGAGGAGAAAGUUGUAAGAAGGUAUCUCUCCGAAACAAUAACGUUAUUCUUGAGUCCAAAAGUGUAUGUACAUGUGCAAUGGAAAUUAAUCUAAGUUUUAUGUUCCCUACCUAAGAUUGCUCGGAUACACCAACUUUUCUUUGCAAAUUCAAAGUACAGAAACUUAUUGUCUUUCAAAAAUAUUAGAGAGGAUGCUUUAUAUGCUCUGUGAGGGAUGGUCCCUUGUGAGGCCAACCCCAUUAUGUGUAUGGGCUAGAAACCCUUUGUGGGGUUUUGUAAUUUUGGCUACUCCGAGCUAUUUAUAUUUGGUUGGACCUGGGUUUGUGCCGGUAAAAUAUUGGGUAUUAACAAUGAGUAUUAAGUCAGUUUGCAUUGGCAUAGUUAUUAAUAUAAGAGAAUGCGAGUGUCGAGUACGUUAAAAUAUAUUAUUCUCUUAUUUAAAAGUUAAGAAGGGAUUAUGGUUAAUUUUAAACAUUGUAUCAAAAAAUAAAAAUUAAAAAUCAUGAUGCUACACUCAUAUGAAAACAAGUAUAUAAAAAAACAAUAAAAAUUUAAUUUAAUAUUAAUAUAUAAUUUUCUACACCGUUCACAUUGCCAAUAAAUUAAAUGAUAUUACAUCAUUAAAAAUGAAAAUUAAGUUAAUAUAAUUUUAAAAGUUUUUGAUAAUUUAGUUUUAAAUUUUUAAUAUUAUAUUUCUGCAGAAUUUUGAAAUAUUAUAAUUUAGCAAAUAACUUUUUUAAUUAUGUAAUUUCAGAAAUAUAGACUUCAUAGUGGUAAGUUUCGAUUGGUAUAAAAGGCAAACAAGGACGGCUUGGCUCAGCUCGGCUCGGCUUCUUCGAGCCAAGGUGCAAUGGUGAUCUUUCAACGUCAGCAUAUUUAGGAGCUUUCCUAUGAUGUAAUUUAUUUUAAAAUAUGUAAUUUUUACAGAUUAAUAUAUAAUUAAUGAAAGGAAAUUAAAACUCUAAAGAUCCCAUUUUAUUUAUGAUCAAAUAAAUAUAUAUUUAAUGGAAAGAAAUAAAUUUUGGUAUAAUGUGUAAUUAUAUAUAUAAAUUUUAAUUUUGUGUAAUUUUAUACAUGACAUUUUGAUUUGAUUUAAUUUUUACAAACCACUAUCAUCAUUAUCAAUAUAAGAUCAUUUUACAUUACAUAUUACAUACACAAAUGAUUAUUCUUAUCUAAUAUAAAAAUAAGUUGAUGUAUUUGUUUCUUUAAGGGGGCAUUUGGUUCAUUGAAUGUAACAUUAUGGCCUAUAAGGUUACAUUCUGAAUGAGAUUAUGGUAUUUGAAUUGUCAUCAUUUCAACCAUCCCGUGAUAUCACAUUACGGAAUAGUGUCAAAAUGCUGUAAUAUAUGGUGUAAUCUCAUUACGACUCAUUUAUUAAGUUAUGUAGGAUUAUGGGUAGAAUCUAAGUUUUAAGGGAAAAAUACCCUAUUAUUUUAUUAUAUUAAUUAAUAUAAUUUCAGUAGUUAAAAUAGCAGUAGCUUAUGUAUUUUAUCUUUUGCUUGGUUAUUAGACAUUUUCAAAGAUUGGGUAGGGUACUUUCUCUUUCAUUUACUUUAAUUUUUUUACAUGUACAUGUGAAAUAAUUUUUCGAUCCCAUUUUACACAAUUUGUUGUAAUUUUGUGUGCGAAUUUUACAUGAGAAUUUCAGGAUCAAUGUUGUUUAGAAAUUAAUGGUUGUUCAAAUGAAUUUACAUCGUAAAAUCAAUGUGUAAUAAAAGUGAUUUUUUUUUAAAAAUUAUACUAUCUAUUAAAUGCUAUUCAUACAAUUAAACUUAAAAUUUAAUUGUUAUAUAAUUCUAAUAAUAAUUGAAUUAUGCUUAAGAGUUGUAUUAAAGUAAUAAUAUAAAAAGCUGAAAUGCUUACAAUUCUGCCUAUACAGUGUUUGUUAAUAAUAUCCCAAUCAAAAUCCAUUGGAGAUGGCUGAAACAUACCUGCUCAAAGUAGGGAGAUAUCGUUGAUGUUUUUUAUUCCCAACAAAGGAAGCAAAAGAGGGCGUAAGUUUGGAUUUGUGAGAUUUGGAUUGUUAAAUGAAGCGCAUCGAGCUGUUAAGAGAAUGAAUGGGAGACGUUUAUUUGGUAAUCGAUUGGGAGUCAACCUAACUAGAUAUGGUGGAACAACGUCGUACUGGAGAAAGAUUACGGAGGAUCGCAGUUCACCUACUGAACAGAGAAUUGUUAAUGCUGCUGCAGCUCAGAAUAUUAAAAAAUGUUACAGGGAGGUGCUCCGUUCCAUGAAUAAGACGAUCUGGAGUCAAGAGGGAGAUUUACAAGUGGAGAUGACAGGUACGGAAAUUUUUCAUGACGAGAUCAAAUUCGACGCCAUCAUUGAGGCGUAAGUCUUGUGAGUUGCAUGUAAAUGAGAACACACUCUUAACACUACAGACAAGUGUUGUUGGCAAAGCGAGAGGUGUAUUUGGGGAGCGAAUGGCUUCAAGGAAACUUUCAACAGCUUGGAUAUUUUGAUGUUAAUGUUAAGAAAAUGGAAGGGGGUUUCUUCUUGAUCGAGUUUGAAAAUAAAGAGUUGCUCACUUCAUUCGAAUACAAAAAUUGGAGUUGGCUGAAUGAUUGGUUGUUUUGAUUCACAGAUAGAAUGGCAUGGGUAUAGUGCUAUGGAGUCGGAGUAUUGAGACAUUUAAAUCUAUUGCAGAGUUAUGGGGAUCUCUCAUUCAACUUGAUGGCAACUGGCAAGACGACGAAAGCUAUAGAUUUAAACAGAAGUAUGAUGCUGAUACGCACGGAACAAUCUGAAAAAGAUUAAUAAAGUUAUCUCGGUGUCUUUUCCUGGAAAAAGCAGAAAUUAAGUAUUUUCCGAGUGCAGGCAACACUUAAAUAAUCUGAGUUUUUCAGAAAAUGAUAGGUUGAUGGAGACACACCUAAACUCUAGCUAUACGGGCGAAACUUUUCCCAUGGGUUGGGAUAAAGAAAAUGAUGAAGAUGAAUGGUCUAGCUUCAUGGGAGAAGAUGAUGAAAUAAUGAGAUUGGUUAUUGUUAAUGGGAAUGGAAAUAAAAAAAGGUUGGAAGAAGGGCUACCUAGCUCAUGCCAGGAGCAAUGUAGUGACAUUGAUUUAAGAGAAGUAGAUGUGAAGUUGACGACAAUAGAGAUAGCUUAGGUGAAUAUGUCCCAAGGCAUGAUAAUGAUUGUGAUAGGGUGAGUGUCAAAACAAUGAUUGCAAAGUAAGCAAUGGAAAGUGGAAAAUAUUAAUAUUAGCUUUAUUCGGUUAGAAUUAUAAUAGUCAGGUUCGCAUCCGUUCAAUAUAAAAUUUUAAGUAUCUUUUAUCUAUGGGUUUAUCCGGUUUAAAAAAUUGAGUUUAAAAUAUGUUUAAAAUUUUGUUUAAAUUUUAUUCAGAUGAAAAAAAUGUUAAAAUUCAAGUUCGUAUUAAUUUCUUUAUAUAAAAAUGAAUUUAAAAAAUAUAAUACAUCAAAUACACUAAAAAUAUUAAAAUAAAAAAUAUAAUACAUCAAAUACACUAAAAAUAUUAAAAUAAUUAUUUUCUAAAAAAGUAAAAAUAAUUUUUUUAAAAAAAACUUUUUGUACUUAAAUAACACUUAGAUUGUUACAACUUAACAAGGAAAUGUCUUUAAAAUAAUAAUAAAAUUAUUAAUAAAAUAAGAGUUAUCCAAUAUCUAAAUAAUAACAACAAAAAUAGUAAUAAUAUAAUAGUAAAAUGGCAAAAAAUGGCAACAAAACAACAUAAAAAUAGCAGCAAAACAACAACGGAAAAAAUUUAAGCAAAUUCAGGGUAGACUUGGGCAAAAAAAUAUUACCUGAGGACUAGUCUGUUUAGAAAAUGAACCUUUUUUUUUAUUUCAAAACUAAUUUUUCGAGCAAAUAUUUUUACCUAAAUUUUCUUAUAUUUCGGACGGACCUUCGAGUUUGAACGAAUAAUUCAAUUUAUAAUUAAGUCUAAUUAGAAUACGAGAUUAUUGGGUUAUUGUUAUGGAAUGUUGUUGGAGGAGGAAUAGUAAUAAUAACUCCUUAGGAGAAGAAGGGAGAAUAAAUAUGUGAAAUGGAAAUUUAGUGAUGAAUUCCAUGAUUCUUCGAAAACAAAAAGAAAUCAAAGAUGGCGACUUAGAGCAUGAAAGUGACACAUUGAGAUGCAAGGUUAGGAAGUCAAUACCCAUUCUACCAAAAGUUUAGAAUUUUGUUUUCAAAUUGAUGAUGCUUCCGGCUUGGUUUGUAAUUUGGUGUUAUUUUUUGUUUCAUUUUGAGGUGUUAUGAUUUGAAUUUUUUUUUUCUUAUUCUUCGAUUCUUUGAGCUUGUAAGUUAUUAGGUCUAUCUUUGUAACCUUUACAAAAUUUUAUUCUUAAAUUAAAAAAUAUAUAUAAUAACACUAUUCUUACAUCAAUAAGAUUAUACAUUUUUUUUAUCUCAAAAUUUUUUAAUAAGCUUAUUUUAAAAUUAGCAGAACUGUUUUUAACUAAUAAGUCUAAAUUAAAAUAUAAUUAUUUUCAAAGUUAAUUUAAUAAUAUUAUGAAAGAUAAAGGUACUCUAGUUGGUUUAUAAAUUUUCUAAAUUCGUGCUUAUAUAUAUUAUAGAUUAAUUACAAAAAUAGUUUUAACAUUGUUAAUUAUUAUUAUAUUUAAAAUAAAAUUAUAUUUAUAUAUAUAAAUGAUAUAUUUAAUUAAAAUAAAUUAGAUUUUUAUUAUUUUAAUUUACCUAAUUAUAUUCAAUAAUUUUAUAGAUUUAUAAUUUUAUUGAUUAAUAAUAUAUUAUAUUAUUUUUUAAGUAGAAUUUUUAAAAAAUAUGACCAAAUUAAUUAAUUGUAUGUUAAUAUAAUAUAAUAUUAAUUAAUAUUUAGUUAAUAUUAUUAUCAUCACAUAAUAAUAUUAAUAAAUUAAUAUUUUGAAUUUAAUAAUAUUAUUAACAAUAAAGAGUAUUUUUUAAUUUAAAAUUCUUUUUAAAUUCGUUUUUUAUAUAAAUUAUAAAUUAUAAAUAUAGAUACACUAUUAUAGAUUGAAGAAAGGGUAAAUGUUAUUUUUUAGGGAAAGUUUUCAUGUUAGUUAAGUAUUAAUUUCAACUAUUAGUUACACGUAAAAUACACUUCCUUUUACUAAAUUUUUAGGUUAAAUAGGUAAUAUAUGACAAUUUUUUAAUUCACGAUCAAUUUUUUUAAGGUUAGGGUUGAUUAUUAGUAUUGGGAUUUAGGGGUUUUAUUGGGUUUAGAGUUUUAAGAGUGACCGUGAAAGUUUAUAGGUAGUUUUGAAAGGUUGGGGAUGCGAUAAUACGUUUCAGAACACAUACAUUUCAUAUGUCAUGCUAGGAUAAUACCAUUCCUGUAAAAAUCCAUCCUAUGGAAGUCGGGUUCCGGGGUGACAGUGUUUGAUACGGUCGCGGGUCAAAGUUUAAGUGAAGGUCCCAGUCGAUGACCUUUAUGCGGUCACGAGUUCGAGUGUAACUAGGGGGUAGUUCACGAUCAUUAUACAGUCACAAGUUCAAACUUUUCGGAUACCCGCAAAUGAUGCCUUGAGGUCAUAAUCAUAGGGGAAAACGAAGGGCUUUCCAAUGUAAUCAACAUAAUUUUUUUUGUUGCUAUUUCCAGGCAAUCGAUAUCUUUAACAUUUCAUUCUUAUCCGAAGGUUAACACCAAGGUUGACACAAGAGAACUUUCAGGUGGAGAGCGGAUGUCCUGGCGAAGCAAAGGUCAAACUCGAGUUGGCGUGAUAGCGGUUGUAGUUAUUAAUGGGUUAUUUAAUAACAAUAAUCGUUGUCGCCUCGAAAGGAGCAUCACCUUUACUCCACUUGUAACAUCCUCAAAAACCCCCUUGGUCGUAAAUAAUAUGAGAUAAAAUCUUAGUGAAAUAAGGUAUAAGAUCAAAGAAAAUGAAAGUUGCAAUAUAUCAAAAGAAUUGUAAUAUAUCAAAAGAGAGUUAAAUCAAGAAGCAUGACAUCAUGUAUUAAUGAAGGGACUAAAUCAUAAAUAUGUGAAAAGUUUUUGGCUCAAGUGUAAAAUUUAAAUUUUAGGGGAUCAAAGUGUAAAAAUGAGAAAUUUGAAGGACCAAAAGUGAAAAUAAUUCAAUUUACUAAGAUAUGGAAUUGGCAUUAGGGCCAAAUUGAAUAGGUGAAGAAUUGUGAGGGACUAAAUCAUAAUUUUACCAAAUUAAGUGAUGAUUCAAGGAUGAAAUUUUGAAAAAUCGUAAAGGGUAAAAUGGUCAAUUAGCAAGAGGGAGAGUUCUAGAAUGUAAUGAUGAUGUUGAUGAUAUUUUGGUGUUUUUUUUAAUUAAUUAGUUAAAAAUUAUUUUAUUAAUAUUUUACUUAUAUGUUUAUUAUUAUUUUAUUUAGGAAAUGGUAGUAUAAAAAGAAAGGAAGGAUGAAGGAAAUUUAUCAUCCUUCCAACGUGAGUGAAAGGAUGAGAAAAGAAAUUUUCUUUUCUUUACAAUUUAGUCAUUUGCCAUGAAAACCUACUGUCGAAACCAUUUUUUAAAGGGAUGUUUGAAAAAUGGUGAUCGACUUUUGAAAAACGAAAACGGGAGUCGCCACCAACCUUUUUAGGUGUGAUUGGAUCACCUUAUAAAACAUUUUGGUCUACGAAAAUUAAGAAAAUAGGUUCGGGAGUCGGUUACAUACGAGGAAGGAUUAGCACCCUCGCAACGCCCAAAAUUGGUACCAAAUUGAAUAGUUUUCUGUCUUAAUGUCAAAAAUUUGAAAGGAUUUAAAAAUAGAAUUCCUUUUUUAAAAUCGAAAUUAUUUAAGUUAAAAAAUCGAGAUUCCUUAGCUCCGAAAGAAUACAAACAUCACAUCCAGCAUGAUAGGACACGAUAUUCUUAAACUCUCGUAACUGAAAUCAUCUCGUGAUUUACAAAAUCUAUUUAGAAGGAUACUUUAGGCAUUUAGACAAACGGGAAAUCGCAACCCAGCAUGUUAGGGCAUUAUUUCCCGAAUUCCUAAAUACGAAAAACAUUACCUCAUUUUAGAAAAACUUUUGGAUAAAAUAUGAAAAUUAAAUGAAAUAUAUUUUUUUUAAAAUAAUGAUUUGAGUAGAAUUUAAAAAAAUACUUUACUAGGAGUAAUACUAAAAAAAUUAUUAAAAAAUGAAAGAGUUUGAUAUGAUACUAAAAUUAUUAAAAAAAUUAAAAUAUAUAAAAAAUCAGGGAAACAUGGAUUAAAUCAAAAUAAAAAGGGUUGAAAAACGAAGAUGAACAAAGAAUAAAAUAAGAACAAACCGUAGAAAAUAAGAACGUAAGAGGGAGAGAAAUUUGAGUGAAAGCUCUCAAAAAUUUUUAUUGUUUCCCAAAACUCCAGUGUGUUUACAAUGAAGGGAGAGGCCUCUAUUUAUAGUUGAACCUCCUCAAAUCCAACGGUACAGAUUAAUUACAUCAACAGUUAAGAUUAAAAGGUAUCUACAAAUUAAAUCUCUAAGAUUACAAAAUCAUAUCUUCUAAGAUUGCAUAUCAUAUCUAAGAUUGCAAUCAUAUCUAAGAUUAUAUCAUAUCUAUGAUUGCAUAUCAUAUCUAAGAUUGCAUAUCAUUGAAGAUUAUAUUUCCAUAUGAGUCAAGCUUGUAAAUGGACCAUAAAUCUUUUCAAGUAAUGGGCCAUUCCGGUCGGGCCAAAUUAUAUUUAUAAUUCUGGACUGAACUUGGACUUCGUUUAUUUUUUUAUUUUUAUUUUUAUUGGGUUUAUUAUUUUUGUUUUUGGACUUAUUUCUGGGCCCGGGCAAAAUUGAGUGUCUACACCUAUCUUUUUACCCAAAAUUUUUGAAAAUUUCCUUAGAUAUUAAAGAGAGAAGAUGAAGUAGAGAUUCUAGAGAAUAUGUUCAUCAAUUUAGAAGCAAGAAAAUAAUAGAUGAAAGUGGAGAAAAUGGGAAGGAAAAGGAAGGAAAGUGGUGAAGAUGAGAAAUGCAUGGAAAUGAAGAUGUUAAAAGGAGAUAAGUUUCAUAUUAAACCUACUUGUUUUUCAAUAGAUUGAGUUAAAGAUGUUUUGAGUGAGAUGUAUGAAACAUGUAUUUAAUCUAAAUACUAGAAAUAGAAAAUAUUUGAUGAAGAAUAGAGACUUAAAACACUAAAUUGGUAAGAAAGAAUGUGAUUUGUAUGGUGAAAAGUACUAAGAUUAAGAAAUGAAUAUGUAAUCUACAAUUAAACAUAAGUGUCUAAAUUGUAUAGUAAUCAAAAGUAUGACAAUUAUGUGUGAAUGAAUGAAAGAUAGUGUAAAGAACCAUGGAAAAGAAAAUAUUUUUUUCAUUAAAACAGUUUGGACAGCAGCAGUGACUUAAAUUUGAAAAUUCACCAAAAAUUACAGAAAUUUAGUUAGAGAUUUAAUUAAAUAUGUAAUUAAAUAUUAUUUAGUCCAGUUUCAUAUGGAAGAAACAGUGAAAGAAACAGAAUUUUAUAGUUUGAGAUAUAUUAAUUUUUGUGAAACAAGGUCGGAGUGGAUUCGAGUUCCCUGUUUUGACUUUGGAAAAUCAUAAAAAAUUGUAAAAAUAUUAUUAGGGUUUUAAAUUUAUAUGUUUAAAUUAUUGACGAGUCUAUUUUCGAGAGAAACAAACGAAAACAUUAUCCAAACCUUGUAAUAAGAGAUAAUUAGUUUUUAGUAAAGAAAGGUCGAAGCUGUCAAACAACAGAACAGGGAAAAUUUGAAGAAUUUACUGUACUUAUUGGCUAAUUCAUAAAUUCUGAAAUUUUUAUGGUAAAAAUAUUUGAGUCUAGUUUCAAAAACAUCAAGCGGAUCUUAAUUUUGAAUUCUGUAGCUCAAGAUAUAAAUAAUUUAAUGACUAUGACUCAAGUGGACGGUUUUGAUAUGAAUACAUAAGUAAAUAGUGGAAUUAUAAAUAAUGUUACAUAUAAGCAUGUUAUAUACCAAAAGUUAAAAAUUCUAACAAAUAUAUACAUAAAGGAUGUGGAAUGGAGAGGAGGAGAAGGAAAAAAAGAUAUAAAUAUAUAUAUAUAUAGUAGAUGAAUUUGAAAUGUUUCGAAAUGGUUGUAAGUGAUGGAACGAUUAAUACAUGUGAGUAUGUUUAAACGAAUUGAUAAAAUAAUAAGUGAAUAAUUGUUAAUUGAUGUGAUAUUGAAUUCUUUGUUAAAAUUUUAUGAAGAAUUAAAUUGAUUGACACAAUUUAGAAAUAAAUAUAAAAUAUACAUAAAAUGGGUAAACUAAUUUUGAAAGUGCAAGUCCUCCAAUGGUCUUAUUUGUAAAACUUUAAUAUUUGUGUUAAUUUUAUAUACUUUGUUAUCUUUAAUUGAAUAUCAUGUUUUUAUGAGGACUUGAUAUUAGAAAUAGAUGUAAGUGGAUGAUAUGUAAAAUGAAGUGGCGGUUAUGACAUCUAAAUAUAUUUUUAGGUAAUGAUAUAAAAAAUAAAUAAAUAAAAAUAAAGCGUGGAACUUGUAGGAAAAUAGAGACGACGUCACGAUGACAAGUUCGUCAUGUUACGACGUGGAAACCCCAACAUUGCGAUGACAGUUCAAAAUUUUUUAUAUACUAUACAAUUUGGCCUUUAAUCAAUUGUGGAUGUUUUAAUGAGCUCCUUUAACUCAUAAUUAGUUCUAUCGUAAAUUUAAUUAUUACUGAAAUGAGAUAAUGAUCUAUAUUAAUUAAAUAAUAUGAUACAUUGAUCUAAAAUUUUCAGUAGUUGCUUCGACAAGGAAUGUGACAUCCUGAUGCCUUGACUCGACAACCGGGUCGGGUAUGGGGGUGUUACACCACUGCCACAACCGCUGUUUGCGUAAGAGUUCUUUUGUGUCCACAGUGGUGCUGACCUAUGGAUAAAAAGGAAGGUUAAAGAUAUCAACUGUGUGGAAAUUGAGAAAAAAUUAUGCUGAUUAUAGUGGGAAACCCCAUAGUUUUUCCCUAUUUUUAUGCCCUCAAACUUCUGUAUGCCAUCAACUGGCUCUCUAUUUAUAUUUCGAUCUAUGACCUCAUAACAACUAUUAAUCGAGACCUCUACGUAGACUUCCACCUAUAACCGUAUAAAGCAUCGUCACCGUAGAACCCAACUUCCACGAGAUAGGUUUCUCAGGUAAUGGUUUCAUUUCAGCACGAUAUAUUAAAUGUGUCUUGGAGCGAUAUCGUAUCACUGACGACUCAAGAAUACCUCAAAUAGGAAUAAAUAUUAUCGAAAAAAAAUUUUAAACAUUGAAGCAGGGAAGAAAAUUAAGAGAGAGAAAUAUUGUAAAGUUAAGGGAUGAUGGUCGGGAGAGAUGAUGAGUUUAGGGACGAUGGAGUAUGGAGAAAAAGCCCCCUUUUAUAGGCGCGGGGGAGGGGUGAGAUUGAAAAGAAAAAAAAACAACUCAUGGUUGAAAACGCAUUGUAGAAGAGAUGUUUUUAUUGAAUAUCUGAAAGAUGUGCCUCAAAUCUUACCUAGAAUUCCCUGGGGUAGGGCACCUAUGCAGGCUUUAAAUGGUGGUGGAUAGAAAGCGCACUCAGUUGGCGAGCUUUCCUGUUGACAUGUAAGGGAAAACACGCACAGCUAAACACGCUUUCUGUCCACCACUACUCAAAGCUUACCAAGGUGCCUUGCCCCUGAAAAUCUCGAUUACAUUUUCAAGCAUACUGAAGACCCUUUUAAACAUAUGUUUGUUGAAAUUGAUUCUGCUAAAACACGUUUCAAGCACAAAAUACCCUUUCAUUACUAUUCAAUUAAAACACGUCUUCUGAAACGCGUUUUGAAGCACGCAUUCCCUUCCUCCUCAUUUUUUUUACUAUUAAACUACCGAAAUAUUCAAUACUUAAACAUAAGCAAAUCAGUUUUUUUUUUGAAGAGUUUCACUACAAGUGUUGUCUGCAUUUCUUUAGAUAACCAUCUGAAGAUUUUUUUUGUUCUAAAUAUUAAAUUCAUUUUAAAUUGAAAUAAGUCGACGAGUGAAAUCUGUAAUUUAUUACAACAGUUAAAUUUUUAAUAUGAACGUCGGGUUCAUAUUUGCAGGAGCCUAGUAUGUGGAAUUGGCUUUUAAUCACAACAUUCAAUUACGUGAGCUACGAGCUAGAAUUAGGAGGAAAGUUUGAGGUUCAAGAUGGGGAAGAAUUUCAAGCUUGAAAUGUAGAUAUCUGUCAUCACUAGACCCAUUUAAGUAUGAGUUAUUUGAUGUGAAAUGCGAGCUGGAGCUAGAGGCGGUCAUAGAUUCACACUGCUUAAGUGGAAAUGCUAUAAUGGAAUUACAUGUCGAGUUUGUCAAGGUUGAUGGAGCUGGUCCACCUUCGACCAAUGUUGCUGCUAAUACGGGAAACGAAACAAAGGCAGAAAGUCCUACGACACAGGUGUGCGGUGGGUUCACUGUUUUAUUACAAAGCUCCCAUUAUAAUGUCCCUAAAUCGUCAAUAAAAAGACAUUUUUUGGUUUUAGGCACCAACUUUAACUUCGGCGGCCAUUCCGUCUAUCAACUUCAGCGACCAUUCUUCGGUUUUAGUCUGGGCCAGAUGGUUUGGAAGUGGCACUUUUUUCUGAACUAGAGCAUGUUCCAACUGAGCUAGAACCUUACGAUUCCAAUGAUGAUCAUUCAGACCAUGUUCUAGACUCAAAUCCGCGAUUCAGGGCAUAUGAACCUCCAUUCUAUAAGCAUAACAUCGACUUCCCUGCUAAGAGUGGGUUAGAGUUCUCACAACUCUUGUACAGAAGAACUGGUUAUGCAAGUUCUUCGUCAAAUGUUCAGAUAUUAGAAGUUGGCAUGAAAUAUCCCUCAAAAGAUGUUUUUCUUACUACACUGAAGCGGUAUAGCUUCAAGAACAAUGUGAACUAUUAUGACACGGAAUCUUGUUCAAAAAAAGUAAAGGAAAAGUGCGCAAUGUGCGAUGAGAGGUUAGAAUGAAAAAUCAUGACAUCUUUUCGGAAGAAGACGAUCUUGUGGACAAUAAAUAAGUAUAUCAAUCCACAUACUUUUGUUGCAGCAAGUGCGCAAUGCAAUCACCCAAUAUUUUUAUGUAACCUAACAAAGGUCUUUGUUUUUGCCAAUAAUCUAACUUUGGCUUGUACUUUUUAGGUGUAAGUCAAGAUCAUCCGAUACUAGACUUUGACAUGAUAGUUGACAUAAUUCUACCUAUGGUGAAAGCGAAUUUCAAGAUUCCCAUGUCAAUAUUGAUUGCCAACUUCCGUAGCCAGUGUGAUUAUAUGCCAUCGUACGAGUCUAAAAUUCCUUACUAUUACCAAUUGAGUGACGUAAAUGUGCUUGUCGUUGAAACAAAUAAGAGAACUUGUCAUUUGUGAAAAUUUAAUCAAAAUGAAUAAUUUACGAAAUAAUAAAACAGAAAUAUUAUAUUUUUAUACAAAUGUAUUGGAAAAUUUCAAACAAAUCUUGAAAAAGUUGAGAGAAUUGAGAGUUUAAAUAGAAUAGAGAAAGUUGGAUUUGAGUGAAAAGAAUGAAAAAUAGCCUAGUAUUUAAAGAAAAUUAAAGUUACUGUUGGGUUGUUUAAAAAUUUUACUAUUGGUGCAUUUGAAUUUGUACGGUUGGAGAAAUGAUUAUUGGAGGAAAGCGUGUCCAUUUCACACACUCUCUCCAAAAUUAAACCUAAAUCAUAAUAAAAAGAGUCUAUUUGACCAAUUAAAAAAAAAUCAGCCUAUUUAGCCAAUUUUUUAUACACCGAAAAAAAAAACAAUGAGAAAAAGAUAGGAAAUUUCAAUUCCAAUAUAUCCAAAUAAUUAUCACGAUGAAAUCUUUAAAUUUUAGAGUUUUAGAUCCGUAAAAUCUUUAAUUUAUUAGAAUCUUGGAGCUAUUAUCCCAUAAUGUUUUUUUUAAAAAAUUAACUCUACAAAAGUGAUCAAUAUUACUUUUUUCUUUGUAUUUUUAGGGUUAAUAUAUUAUUUAGUAUAUGAGUUUGGAUUUAAUAUUUAAUUUAGUAUUUGAGUUUAUUUUAUUUUAAUUUAAGACUUAAGUUUAACUUCAAUAUUAAAUUUGACACGUAAAUCAAAUAGCAUCAUGUGGUCAAAUAAAAUUUUACUAAGUUGCUCUAAUAAAAAAAUAUAAAUACUUAAUUAAAAAAAAUUCAAAAACUAAAUUAAACAUUAAAAUUAAAUUCAAAUUUUUAGACGGGAGAAUUAAAACUCAAGUCUUAAAUCAAAGUAAACAUUAAGGAAAAUUGAAGUAACCUUAGCGUACAAAAAUUUCCAUAAUUAAUUAAGUCAUUAAUUUCUAUGACUUCUUAAAAAAAAUCUCUCCUUCUCUCUCUUUUUUUUUUUUAAAUUAAACUUUAUUAUAUUAUAAAAACAAUCCUUCACUAACACAGUAAGAAGCCUCUUUUGCUUUAUUUUCGCGCUUUCAUGGUUAUUCUCGCCGAAUAGAACUUUCAAACACAGAACUAUAAAAAAAAAAAUAUUCAUCAAUAUUUUCUCCCUUUAUCAACUCAAUUUUCUUCAAGGUAACACUUUUUUUUAAUCGCUGUUUUUUUUUGUGUGUAUUAUCUAAAUUGGAUUUUUUCAUUCUAUGCAUAUAUUGAUUUCUAUGCUUCAAAUUUUUUUCUUUUGCUUUUUUUGGCUAUCAUUUGAUAUAAUCCAAAUUGGGUUUCCUUCAUUUAAUCGAUCCAUGUUUGUUUCUGGGUUUAUAUUGAUUUCAGUAAAAGCUUGAGUCUUUAAAUGAUUUAGUUAAUGUGUGUGCAAGUUUUGGUUUAAUGAAAGCUGCUAUUUUUUUAAUCCCAAAUUUGAUUAUUGAUUGUUUACAUUGGUAUUUGAUUUAAUUCUAUUAAAGGAGUUAACCCUUUUGCUAAUUAUAAAUAAAGCCUUAAAAAGACCCCCAUUUUUGUAAAAAGAAGAGAUAGUGUGUUGAUUGAUACAUAUAUGUAUAAUUAGAAUGGUUGAACUUUACUGAUAUAAGGUUAUAUAUAUAGGGUUUUAACUGAAGUGGAAAAGCAUAAAAUUUAACAUCAUGGGUUCUUUUUGUUGCUGCUUACGUGCUGACGAUUCCGAGGAUUAUACGAAUUCAAACAACAAUGUUCGUAGACAUUGUUUAUGCCUCAGUUGUUUCGUUCAAAAUUUCCUUCACAUGGUAUGUAUGUUCCCUAAUUCUUUGUUAAUGAGCAUUGCUUAAUAAGCAUUAUGGUAUGUACAUGCGUAUGUUGGUAGAAUUAGCAAAUCGUUUUCACGGCAUUUGCCUCUAUAAUUGUAGUAUGCCACGUUAUUUCAAAGGAGAGAUUCUGUACCUUCAUCGAUUCUAGGGACGGCAUAUGUGAAUUCUCCUGCAUCACUAUACAGUUCGCUUACUGACGUUUACGAGUCUACUAUAAGGUCUUUGCCUUAUGAUGGCGAGACUAGACAUUGUCGUUUACAGCGUGAAGGUCUUGUUUCGAGACGUGAGAAAGGUUCGAGUCAUUCACAAGAAGAUUCAAAGUCUUUAAGAGGUGCAGACGAUGCAGAUUCGGAAACGUUUAGUACAGGAGAGAAAUGGAAUUCUUUUGAACAAGGCUCGACAGAGAGGCAAUCUAAAUCCUCACAAAAUCACUCAUCGGCAAAAUCACAAGUCGGAGUUGGGUACACUUAUUGGUCAGCGGAAGAAGAGGAUGUCUGUCCAACAUGUCUCGAAGGUAAUAUUUCUUCUUGAGUUUCAAAUUUGAUGUAGCCCACUUCAUUAGGAUGUCUGUCCAACAUGUCUCCAACAUCUUUCAUUCGUAUGCAUGUUCAUUGAUGUUAAGCCGAGCAACAAUGAACCUGUGUGCUUGUGCCAUUAGUUUGGCCUGGAUUAUAGUGAUUGGCGACUAAGCAAAACUUGCUUUACUUGGGGAACACACAAUACAUGCCAUAAAAAGUUGAUAAAAAUACCGAACAUAUUAGGUUGGGAUUUUAAUACAUAUAUUAUCUUCGUUUUAAAUUAAACGGUUGAUUAUGUGCAGAAUAUACUCCAGAGAAUCCCAAGAUCGUAGCAAAAUGUUCCCACCAUUUCCAUCUCAGUUGCAUUUACGAAUGGAUGGAGAGAAGUGAAAACUGCCCAGUCUGUGGCAAGGUAUCCUCGUUUCCCGAUUUCUCGUCUCCAUGAUAGUAUAUAACCAUCAAUAAUAUCUUUUUAUGGGUUUGUUUCCGCUUUUGGCCGUUUUUGAUGUCUUCUAUUUUCAGCUAUGAACUAACUUUGGAAUCUGUCGUAACAAAAUCCGAAUGAGAAUUAACAAUUAUUGCUUGGAUAUCAGCUGUGUUUGAUGUACAAUGUAUUGCUUGAAUUUGGUUAGCACUUGGUGAUCAAAAUGUUUUUGGGAUUCACCAGUUUUUAUCCUCGUUGCUUCUUAAUCUAGUGAUCAUACGAUGUUAUACCUGCAAAUCUUUACACUUAUAAAUUCUGGUUUUUGUUCUUUCCCAGGUUAUGGUGUUCGAUGAAACGACUUAAUCUCGCUUCAAAGGCUUCGUUCUAUAUAUUAUAGAACUAAGGAUUCUGUACAGUUUAACAAAUGAACAAAACCUUUUUUUUUCUUUUAUUUACAAAGCAGCAAACUAGGAUAGGGAAAUAAAUUGCAGGUUUAGGUAUUUGAAUUUCCGUAUUAUUUUAUUUGAAUCAAACUCAACUAAGUUUCGGUUCCUUUAUAUAUAUUUAUGCUAGUGAGGGUUCAACCUUGGAAUAAAGUAAAAAUCGUGAGAUUUGAACUCCAAACUUGUUGGAUGACAUUGGGAUGCUGCAAUUUGAGCAAAAACAUCGUUGAGUUUUCAAAUGAACAACUUGUAUAUAGUUUGUCUGAUACAUUUGAACUUCUCUGAGGAUGUUAUGUUAUGAAAUUCUCACUAUAUAUGAAAACAUGGUUUCGUACUACUCGAUUUGAACAGCUGUUAUAAUAUCACUGAUUUGGUACUAGGUUGAGAUUGAGCUCAGCUUCCUUGUUUGUCCCUUUCAUGGCUUCGUAACUCCCUCUGCAUGAUUUUUCAUAUAAAAACUUUUGAGGAAUCAGUGUAAUUGCAUGAGUUUCAGUCCUGCAUGUUGCUUUAAAAGAUGGUAAAUAUGCCGAGGAGGUUUUUGAAUUAGAAAUAAAAUUACAUUUUAUCAUUUUUAAUUAAAAAAUAGUAAAUUAAUCUUUGUCUAUUAGAUUACAGAGUAAAUUGGUCGUUUUUGUUAAACAUUUUGUACUGUUAAAAAAUAAAAUAAUCAAUGACGUACAUCUCAUGCAGAUGUAUAAGGACUAAUUUGUAAUAGCAAAAAAUGAAUGGAAUUUCAGUUUGUUCAUUGGUAUAAUAUAUAAGAAUUAAUUUAUCUAUUUUUUGAGUAAAUGGGGUAAAAUGCCGAAUUUCUAUGGCACUUUUAUCUUUAAAAGGCCAAGGCAUAUAUGUGCAUAUAACUUACAUUAUAGAAAGUAAAAGUAAAAGUACUAUGGAGGUCUUUGUACUAAGAGUUAAAUUGUAUUUUAUCCCGUUUACUCAAAAAAUAAACAAAUUAGUCAUUGUACAUUAGAUUAAAUAACAUACAAAUUGAUCAUUUCUGUUAAAAAUUUCAUUCAUUUUAUUAUUAAAAAUUGGUGCGGCAAAGAGAAUAACCAAAUAAUUACAUAUAACCUACCACGUGUACUUUAUUUUUGACAUACAAAAACCAAUUUUUAACAAUAGAAAUAAAUGAAAUUUUUAACAAAAAAAUCAAUUUGCUCUAAUGUAUAGAGACUAAUUUACUCAUAUUUUUUAAUUAAAAAAGUAAAAUACUUAACUCUUAGUUUAGUUUGAGGUCUUCCAUGCUUUUACCCAUUAUGGAAUGGUUAUUGAGCUAGCAGGUAAACACAUUAUUUUGUAUAAGAGAAAAGAGAGUUAAAAAAUACCCAAUAGUCAAACAAGGAAACCGUGUUGCAGCCGGUGGUGGUGUUGGUGGUUGUAUGGAUGUUGAUGGUGGUGAGUUUUGGACAAGUUUUUGUUGCACUUCAUGUUGUGCAUGUUCUGUCGGUGUCUGCUGUUUUUCUUUAAGCUUUAUCCAUGGCAGUAAGGCAAUAAAUGAAACUAGAAUAUAAGCCAUGCUUGAACAUAUCUACAAAAAACUGUAAUAAUUUUUUACCUUUUUAGCUAGCAUGUUGUUCUGGUCUUGCAAUGUCUUUUCCUGUCACAAGGUUCAUAGUCACAAAUAGUAACUUUUUUCUUUUUAUCCAUAUUCUUUUUGAAUUUUUUAAUUUACUCCAAAGCUAUGAUAUGACAAAGUUCUUACUCUCUUCUGCAGCACUGAAAUGGAUUCAUUCAUGAGUUUGUUCUGCAUGUCAAAAGAAAACCAUGAUUUGAGUAAAAUAAAAUAAAAUAGAGCAUUCAUAUAAUCAAAAUAUAAAAUUUUGAAAUUAUUCAGUUUUUUUAACCUUUCUAGUUCGUAUUCGCUUCAGAGAAUUACCAAUUUGUUGUUCCAAAAGUUGCAGGUCCCUUGAACUCAAGGGUUCAAGCUCUUCUCCACGAAAGUUCCUGCAUUCACACAAGUGUUACAUACAUACAUACAUACAUAUGUACGUACGUACGUACGUAAAUCAUUUGCUUGAGUUUAUUAAGUUUCCAGUAAGUCCAAUGCAACCCUAGAAGCUUUGUCUGCUUAUUUUAUUUAUAAUAUAAUUAUUAAUAUUUAUAUUUUAUUAUUGAAUAAAAAAUAAGAUAUAUUUUAAUGUUCAUUUAAUUUAAAUAAAUGAACAUAAACAUGUAUAAACAAACACAAAUUUGCAUAAAUAAACAUAAAAACAAAAAUUGAAUUUCUUAACCAACAUAAUCUGAACACAAACAAACUCAAAAAUAAACAAAUACAAGUAUAUGUUUAACCCAGAAUAGACCAAGUUUCAAACAUAUGAAAUUACAUAUUUGUACCUCAAGUUCCUUUGCAAGACUUCAAUAGUUGACAUGAGUUUGGAAGAUUCCAAAGACCAAUUUGCCUGUUAGAAAGUUGCUUUAAAUCAACAAGCACUAACAAUAGAAAUUUACAAGCUUGAAAUGGAAUUUCAACAAAUUGUAAUAAUUGGUAGCUUACGGUUUUUUUACGUUCAACAUUUUCAACACAUAGUGAAUAGAAAACAUGAUUUGAACAAUAAUCAUCUAAGAGAUUAUCAGACAAGUAUUUACCUUAAAAAGAUAAGAAUGGAACGGCAGCAAUGGUUACACUCCGAGUAAAAAUUACUCAGACAAUAUGCAGGUAUUAGAUAAAAUUUCACGAUUUAAUGCAAGACAUACCUGUGAUUCAGAACCAGUUGGGGCAUAUAUUUGUCGUUCGUAUCGUUCUAGGAUCCUCUCCAUGCUGUAAUCAAGGGAAAAAACGACAUACAUGAACAAAGAAAUGAACCAUAGAAAUAACAAGUUUUAUCAUUGUACAUAUAUAUAUAAUUUUAUUUUAGAUUUAAGACUUUAAUUUUUUUUGUGUGUUUUAUUAUUCACUGAUAAUACUAUUUAAGACACUUAUCAACUCACUGAGUGAAAUUUUUUGUAUUAUUGUUUGAAGUAUAUUUUGAUUUUUCUUUAUUUUAAAAAUCUAACAUAAAGAUCUUUUAUGUUAGAAAAAUAAGAGAGUAGCAUUUUUAUAACAAUUAAAAGAUUAUCAAUUUUACAAUGUGCAUUUAAUAAAAUGAUGUCACAUUUUUUAGUGAUAUCUACCUAAUAAUAUUAUAGCUUAACUUGAACAGUUGUAUUUACCUAAAUAAUAAUGUCACUUAAAAUAUUACCAUGUCAUUUAAUUAUGUUCACUAUUUAGUUUUUUUCUUAACAAGGGUGAAAUUAUACUUCAAGGUAAAACAUGAAGACCUACACAUUCCCUUAUUAAUAAUGUUUUUCUAUUGCUUAAAAAAAACAUUAUUUGACAUCUCUAGGUAAUAAUGUUAAUUUUAUCAUACAAACAUUUGGUAGAGAUAUUAUUUAUUUAACAUGUCUUAGUAUAUAAGUUAACAAUAAAUCAUUUUCAUUGGUAAUAUUUAAUACUUCUAUGACUUAUUUUUAACAAAAAUAAAAAAAAUAAUCGAUUACUUUUACAAAAGUUUUACUUUCUAAUUUUAAGUUGUACCAAUCUUAUUUAUUUUAUGUCUAAUUAUUUUAAUACAUGUAUUAAAUAAGAUUUUUCCUCGUAUUAUUACACUGGUAACUAAACAAAGAAUUAAUGUUCAAUUGAGUUUUAAGAUUAGUUUUUGAUGAAAAUUUAUUAUUAACUAUUAAUAUUAGUAAUUAAAUUUCAUUAAUUUAAUCUUUAAACUUGAAAAAGAAAAUCACAACCAUCAUAUUAUUUUUAGCAAAUUAACCAUAAAAUUAAACAAAUUCUCGAUGAACCCUAAAUUUAUUCUAUUAACAAAAUCAUGAAAAUUAAACUUAACAUUAUUAGUAAUUAACUUACACCAAAUCAACUUUAAAAUUCAAAUUAAACAUUAAAAAGUUAACUCUAUUAGUUUCAAAUAUCAAAAUGUAUAACAUUUGUGAAAUAUCAAAUAUCACAUUUAGAAAUUACACUAUACGAUAUAUUUACCCAUUAUUAUUAUUAGUAAAUAAUGGUUCUACACUUGUAUAUAUCAUUUAACAAAAGUAAAUGGAUUUAUCCACUCAUUAAGUGAAUUAUUAUCUUUCAAAUCUUAAUAAUUAAUUUACUUAAAUAAAAAUUUAAGUCCAAUGAAUCUACUUCUUCCAAUGAAUCUACUUCCAUAUACACUUAAUUUAACUCAAUCCAAAACUUUUUUUCUUCUUAUUAAAACAGUGAAAAAUAAAAUUAAAGACACUUGAUUUAAUUAAAUGGAAUAUUAUAAUGAUCAAUAUGGAAAUUGUAAAUAACAAAGUUACAUUGCUUUCCUCACUUUCCAUAUAUAUAUAUAUAGAUGAAUGUAUAUAAUGUCUAUGAACAUAGCUAAUAUCAUUAGGAGGCAAUCUUCUAGGUGAAUCAAAAACAAAUUCCAAUAUCCUAGGUUAAAAUGAAUAGCAAAAAGAAAAUGAAAACAAUGACAAAAAUAUGCAAUAAAAACACCAAGCCCUAUAUAUGGCACAAAGCUCUAGAAAAUUUGCCCAAAACUUGAAUUAAUUUGGUUUUUCUUUGACAAAUUUUUAGCUUAAUUAAAGUCCCAAAAUCAAAAGGGUAAUUUGCCAUUUGAAUUAAACUUAACCCAAAUUCAUUACCAUAAUUGUUUGCUGCCCAAAUUCUAUAUGAACAUAAAACUAUAGAAGUUAAUUUCUUUGACUAAAUGAAUAUAUAUAUAUGCGCUAAAUUUUCAUAAGCAAAAUUAGGGUACAAUCCAUUAAUUUGCAUUAUUAUUAAGCAAAAAAAUAAUUUAGUGUUCAAUAUGAAAGUUCAAUUCAAGUACAUGCACUAACAAUAAAAUAAAAUUUAUAGAAAACAAUCUUCAAAAAAUUGUACUGAUCUGACAACUCAAUACAGAAAAAUUGUACAGAAAAUCUUCAAAAAAUACACAAAUUUAUGUCUUGUUAUCUAAAAAAAAAAAAAAAGAACAUAAAUAAAAAUGUUCAGCAAAGUUCUUUAGCUGAAGACACAAUAUCUGUUAGAAGCUGAGGAUUUUGGUGUAAUGCAAAAGCCAUAAACAGUGCAGUGAUGAACACAAAGAAGGAAAAUAAGAAAAACCCAAAAAUGAAUAUACAUAUACAUAUAUAUAUAUUAAAGAGAGAAAAAAGAAGAAACCUGGGAUCAGAAGAGAACUCAAAGAGCUUUCCUUUGUUAGAGAAAACAAUCAAAGCAACAUCAGCAUCGCAUAAAACUGAGAUCUCAUUGGCUUUCUUUAAUAAACCACUUCGUCUCUUUGAGAAUGUUACUUGUCUGCUAAUAUUGUUCUCGAUCCGUCUUAGUUGAACCCUACCUCUACCCAUAUUUUGUUUUUUUAUUUUCCCAGGAAAGUAAAUUUUUCUUACUAAACAAACAAAGCAAAAAAGCAAAGUUCAAGAAACCCUAAAUAUAUGAUUCAUGGAUUCUUUUUUUUUUCUUUUUUUUUGGAAAUUUUACGGAGGAAAAGGAAAUAUGAAACUGAAACAAAAAUGGAUAUUGGAAAGAAAAAAAAAGUAUAGGAUUCUAUUUUUUUUUUCAGGUGUCGUAAUAAGAAACAAAAGGGUUGAGUUUCCAUUUUUACAUACAUAUAUACAGGGAAAAAGAAGAAAGGUAAUAGAAAAAUAAAAUAAUAAUAAUUAGGUUUACUAUUUCAUGUAUUAACAAAAGAAAUUAUUUAUCUUAAUGCUUACAAGUACAUUCACAUUAUACAAUUAUAUAUAUAAUCGGAGACUUGUUUAUGAUUUUUUUCUCCAUUCGAUCUGUUCUGUUGUAAAAUAUAAACAGAACAACAACAAAAGUUUAACAACAACAUACUAAAAUAAAACAUAUGAACUUAAUAUAUGAUAAUCACGUAUGGACUUAAUAUCUCAAUCUUUGUUAACAGUAUCAAAAGCUCGUUAAUAUUUAUCUAUAUGCAUUUAUGAAGAAUUAAAAUAUAAUCAAAUAAUAACUACAUAUAAUGAGAUUGAAAAUUCACCUAUGAUAAUAUAAAACUUGAACUGAAAACUCAACUCUUGCCCGUUAGCAAAUAAUUAUUUAUUUUUGUUAAAAAUUAAAUUAUUUGUAUUAAUUUUUUUUUAAAAGCAUAUAAAAAAAAGGAAAGGGAAACAGUGGAUGAAAUGAGUUUUCGAAAGGUGAUUGGUUAGCAAAAGAUGAAACAGUCUGUUAGUGUCAUGUUUUGAGCCACAGAGAUUGGAACAGUGACCGCUUCCGUACAAUUCUUUCCAUUAUUUUGGGGGUCCCCCCGGGGGGGGGGGGGGGUGAGCAAAUAAAAAUUGUGAUAUAAUGUGUCCUUUGAUUUUGCUGACGGCGCUAAGGGCAUUGAUUUUUAGGGGGAAAUUACAAAGGAAGCCUGGUGUACUCCAAGUUAUUCACAUUUACAACCAUAUAAAGAGUUUAUUAAUUAUUACCAAUAUAAAUAGAAAAGUCUACUCAUUAAAAAGAAAACUAUUCAGAUUCAAUCAACUCUUUCAAUAAUAACUAUUUAUAACAAGAAAAUCAUAAUUAUAAAAAUACAUUUUUUAGUAAAUUAGUUUGCUAUAAUAGCCUAUUAAGAAAGAAGGUUCAGAGGCAUGUGAACUUGGUAAAAAGUUGGGCUUACGAGUAAUCGGGGAUGAAAAAGAGGAUAUCCAGGAAUUGGUUAGAUUGUUGAAAUAUUUGAAGUUGCAACAAUAUGCCAAAGGAACUGCCCAUUUUCCCAACCACUACAGCAAAACAACAACUUGUCAUAUUUGGAAGAUUGACAAUUUAUUGAAUCAUAUCUUUAGACUGAGUUGAUAUCGUGGAACGACUCAAGUCCAAAUCAAAUCACUUGGAGUUACUUAUUUAGAAUAUUGGAUCGGAUCGGAUAAGCCAUAUCAAAUUCCUUAGAUCGGAUUGAAAUGUUGAUGUUUUAUCUGCCAACAAUCAUUAUUACCUUGGUUGUUUAUAUUAUAUUGUAUUUAGCUAUUUUAGUAGAUGUUUAGUAGGGAUUGUAAUAGAUCUUCAUUAUAUUAGCAAGUCUCGAAAACUCUAUAUAAUUGAGAGACUUGUAUAGGUUGAUGUACUAGCUAUUGAGAGAACUUAUCUGUUCGAGUGAGGAACAUUAUUUGUGAAGAGUGCAUUUGUGAUUGUAAAACAUUUGUGUUUUGGUUUUACAGAUUGAGUUCUCAAAGGAAGAAUUUAGUGGUGAGAGAUUUAAUCAUUGAGGUACAUGGGUGAGUACUUGUAACACCCUUCGCCUGUACCCCUCGCCGGAAUAGGGUUCGAGGUGCUACCAGAUUUAAACUUUUCAUACACACGUAUAUUAUCCUUUAAUCGGGCUUACAAGGCCCAAAAUAUUCAUGAGGCAUUAUUAAAUAUUUACCAAUAUCUUAGUCUUGUAUCAUUUACUUACUCAACUUUACAACCCUAUACAUGCCAUAGACUCGAAACACUAAGAUUUACUUACGCCGAUAGCGUAGACUUGACAAUGUGAUAAUAUCUCUGACGGCCUCCAACCCGAGCUAACCUGGCAACCCUAGGGAAUAUGGAAAAGAAAAGGGGAGUAAGCUUUACGCUUAGUAAGUUCAUAAGAAAACAAUAAGCAACUCAUUAACAAGUUUUAUCAAUGUUUACAACAUAAUCACAAAUUCACUAAAAGUUGUCUUCCUGAACAAUAGUCACUAAAUUAUUUAUAACUGGAACUACAAAACUCCAAAUCAAUUGCCGUUAAUUUUCCCUGAAAAUAAACUCAUAUAUCUUCCAUCCAUAAAAUUUUCAGAAUUUUAGGUUUGGCCAAUCAAUGCCAGAUUUUUCUUAAAGUUUCCCCUGUUUCACUGUUUGACUAAUCUGACCACUCUUCACUACGAAUCAAAUUUCUCAUUGUACAGAAUUCAAAAUAUGUUCUAUUUGAUUUCAUUUGAAACUAGACUCAUUAAGGAGUCUAAGAAUAUAAAUUUUAUCUUAUAACCAUUUUUGUACAAAUUAUAAUGAUUUUCUAAAAACAGAACAGGGGACCCCGAAGUCAUUUGACUCUAUCCCACGCCACUUCAAAUAUCUCAUUAUCAGCAAUUCUUUUGCUUACACAGUUUCUUUUUAAGAAACUAGACUUAUUAAGCUUUAAUUAAAUAAUUUAUUCAGCUUCUAACUCAACUCCAAAAAUUUAUGGUGAUUUUCCAAAAUCACGUUACUGCUGCUGUCCCAAGCAGAUUUAUUACAAAUUUACUCUUUCACACAUUCUUUGCAUUCACAUUAUUUAAACAUGUAUAUCACCAAUCAAUUUCAUCACAUAUCUAUAAUUUCACUCAAGCAUAAUCUCAAUACAAUACAUCAUGCUCAAUGAUUCGCACACAACCGUUCAAAUUAGCAAUUAUAAGAUGAUUUCUCACAUAGUCUACCCUUAUCGAUAAUUUACGAUGGUUUUGCCCUUACUCACAUAUAUGACAUAGGCAUUUUCACCUAUGCUUCUCAUUUCACAUUCAUGAUUCAAUUCCAAUCGAUCUAACAUGCAUAAGAAUAUAUCACAUACCUGGCCAACUUAUAUCACAUACCUGGCCAACUUAAUGCAUUGAACAAAUUCAAUUACCGAUUUAACACAAGGUCUCAUAGUCUUAGACUUUUAUCAAAUCACCGGCAUUUAGCCUGCUAGAUUUUAAACCCGAUAAUAUUAUUCACCAGCUUAAAGCUUGCUAGGCUCAAAGCCCAAAUAUCACCAUUAUAAAGUCGUCUCAUAAACAAUUCAUAUAAUAUAGCAUGUAUACCUGUUCACUUUGCUCUAUUUAAUCAUUCAAUCACAAUUUUAUAAUUUCCCUUUGAAUCAUUCGAUAUUUUGCACACUAAGUGUCAUUCUCAAUAUCUCGCACACUAAGUGCCAUUCUCAAUAUUUCGUACACUGAGUACCAUAUUUGAUUGCCCCGCACACUAAGUGCCACAUUUUGUCGAUAUGUCGUUAGACAUUAAAAUAUUCACGUAUAUACAAUUUAUACAAUAUUAAAGCAUUAGAAACAUCAAUUUAACAAUGCUUAUUGCAUACGAACUUACCUAGCUAAAUUGUAGAGAUACCAAAGUUUAGGGGCAUUUUGGUAAUUUUCUCAUUUUUCUCGAUUUUCCACCCGAUCUUGAUCUAAAUUAAUAAUUUCAUUCAGUAUAUUAAUUUAGACAUUAAAACACCUCAUUUCAUACAAUUUGGUCAUUUUUUUCAUUUUUACAAAAUUACCCCUAAAGUUUUACUUUUAUUCAUUUUAGUCCCUGAGCUCAAAACAUGCAAAUUAACCAUUUUUAACCAUAAUUAAGCUUAACCAAAUGUUCAUGGUAUCAAAACAGUCCCUAAUUCACUUUAUGGAAAAAUUAUAGUUUUGCCCCUAAUAUUUCAACUUCUUUACAAUUUAGUCCCUGUAUCAUAAAAAUGCAAAUUCAUGAAAUUGAGUAAAAUUAUACUAUAGACGAAUAUCACUAGUGUCUCUAGCAGGCCACACAUUUCAUUUAUUUGACAUUUUAACCACAAAUUUUUCACAUUUAUCAAUUUAGCCCUUAAUUAUCAAUUUCACAAAAAAUCACUUAACAAAAGGUGUUUAACUAUCAACAAGGACUCAUAUUCUUCCAUUAAACUUCAAAGCUCUAUUAUACUCAUCAAUGGCAAAUAUCAAACUAUUCAAUGGUUUUGCAAAAUAGUCCCCUCAUUAGAUAGAUUAAGCAACAACGAUCCCGAAAAUAUAAAAAUAAUUAAAAACGGGACUAGAAAUGCCUACCAUGCAUUAGCUGAAAGUUAGAAGCUUCUUCCAUGGCUUCUCAAGCCUUCAUAUUCGGCUGGUAAAAAGAGAAUGAAAAAGAUGACACCUUGAUUCUUUUAUUAUAUUCAUUUUAUUAUUAUUUUUAACCAAUUUACAAUAUUAACCUUUAUACACUUUAUUUAUUACACCAAAUGCCAAGCCAUCAUAUCCCACUAUCUCUUUAAUGGGCUAAUUACCAAAUAAGGACUUCUACUUUUAAGUUCUAUAUCUAUUUAAUACCUUUAGGUUAUAGAACACAACUUUUGCAUUUUACACAAUUUAGUCCUUUUUGUUUAAUUAACUAUCGAAACGAUAAAAUUGUUCAACGAAACUUUAAUACCAUCUUAUUGCCACUACGUAAAUAUUUAUAAAAAUAUUUACGACUCGGUUUAUAAAAAUAAGAUCCCGAUACCUCAUUUUCUAAACCCACUUGACCUCAGGGUCAUACCACUUGAACUUAAUAAAUCGUUUAUAAAAAAAAUCACAAUAUCAAAAACAUUUUUAAAAUCACAAUUAACUCGUAAAUAUUAAAUAUAAUAUUUACCAACCUACUCAUUCGGAUUUGGUGGCCCCGAAACCACUGUUCCGAUCAACCCUAAAAAAACGGGCUGUUACAACUCUCCCCCCUUAGGGAUUUUUCGUCCCCGAAAAUCUUGCCAGAGAAUAAAUUAGUGAUUUUCUUUAACCAACCUCAACAAUUUCUCACCUAGUCUCAGAUUUCUCAACUUUUCAAUCUCAUGAGCUAAGAUUAUGAUCUGCUCUUUGCUAUACAUCAUAACAAGCUAAGUUUUUACUUCUGUAAGAGAUACUAUAGAUAAAGGAUCUUAUUUGUAUCAUCACAUCAUAUAUAUAUAAAAAACACAUUACGGGUCUUCUCAAGUUUUGAUAAUAAUCUCAUUCAAUCCGAUGAACUGCGAACUCAACUUCUCUUUAUAGCUAAAUCUAGAAAUUCUAUUCCCACUAUAAUACAUUUACAAAUACUCAAUUUUCUAAUUGAAAAUUCAAUGAUUUUACGCAUCAAGCCCACAUAUAUUUUCUGCAAAUCUGAAACUAUUUUUAGACGGUCAUGAAUUACUUUCAUUUCCCUUCAGUCUUUCCAAUCACAUCGACCCCGAAAUUCUUUUUAUGAAAAUUCAAUUCAAUACAAAGAAGUUCAGUAAUUGCAACCAUACCACACUCAUACAAUGCUAUCUUAACAUUCAUCUCAUAACUAUUAUUAUUAUAUGCAAACUUAACCAACAAUAAAUGUCUUUCUCGGUUGCUUUCAAGUUCUAGAACACAGUGUUACAAAGUAAUUCCAUACCCAAAGCUCAUAGUAGUUUAUUUUAGUAACACGAUAUAAUCCUCGUGUCCAUUUGAACAAUGAAAACUAGCACUCUUUUAGUACUCCCCGUACGGACAGAUAAUUACCACUGUGCUAGAUGUCACAAUUGUUGUAAAAUCUCUGGAUUUCUCAAUACACGAACUCUAUCUCGACAUAACGAACAAUUGUAGGUUCCAAUCUGAAAUUCUAAAUCAGAAAUCAAUUUACGUUGUACCAUUUUUAACUUGUAAUUCACUGACACACCUCUUAACCUCACAAAUUUGCUAAUUAAACAUCAAUUUAGUUUCUAGCUCAGCCAAUAACUACUCAUCAUUUGAUAAGACUAAUCACAUGAUUAUCGACCGUAAAACACAUAAAGAUUCUCGCUCAGAACCCCAAAGACUAUAAUCAUUUGUCCAGAUUGAUAAUCAAUCGCUGACUCAUAAUCUUUCAACAGUUCAAACCAUCUUUAAUUCUUGUGUCGAAUAACUCUUCACCUGAGAACUGAUGCUUCAAUUAACAAUUUCUUCAACUGUUUACCACUUUAUUGAUAAUUAUUACAUCAUUCAGACUUCCCAAUCACGAUCUAUAAGAACAUUUCUCAAUAAAAUCAUUCUGAUGGAUAUAAUUCUGUAUCAUAUCUUCUAGAAUAUGAAUCAUGCAUUCAGAAUAUUCAUCUAUUUAUCCGUGAACAUUCAAACUUUAUUUCCACCCUGUGGAUAGAUUCAGAUACAAGUAACUCGAUUAAUCCUUCAAGCAAUUAAUCUAAUCAAACUAGACAACUGAAUCGAUCUCGACUGUCAAGUAAUAACUUUUCAAUUAUUAAUCAGCGAAGCUUUGAACCAUACUGAAGCCACAACCAUCAGAUAAUUUAAAAUCAUAGUGCCAUAAUAAGGCUGACAUCUCAACCGUAUAGAUAUAUAAUGUUCCAAUUAUCAAUAAUGCAUUUUGAACAUAAGAGAAAUUGAAAUAUAGUUACAGUCAUUCAAUAAAUAUUUUUCACAGAUAACCAUAUAGAAUUAUAAGAAAGCAGAGAUACUGUAAUUCUCGAAUAUAUCACUAUACUAAUCUUUUUUAAGAAAGCACCCAUAUCAGAUGACAGAUAUCUCAAUGAUGUUUCAGAGGAAAUCCAGAAGUAAAGCAUCACUCAUAUGCACCGGAAUCAACAGUAACAGAAACAAUAUAAUCUUCAUGUAUACUAAGCAGAUCAACAACUAGUAGGAGCAGAAUACCAACAUCACACAGAUUUAAUCGUCGAUCUUUUCUUUCAAUAAAAUGAAAUAGAAUACCAGAGAAAGAUAUAAUAAUGCUGAUUGUAACCCGAACAGCCCAAUAAUGCUUUCAUAUAUCAAUAUAUAUAGAUAACGUUCUCAUAUGAUAAGAAUUUCAUCUGAAAAUAUACAGCUUCACAUACCCCCGAGGAUAAUUGAACACAUAGAAUACCCAGAAGAGUUCUCGUAAACCAUUCGACUAUAAUUGCUGUGCUCAAAUAUCUUUAUAAUUCAAAUAUGAUUCUACUGUCUAUCUCUGACAUCACUAAUUUCUCAUUAUCCCAACACUAACGGAGGCCAAUUCGGAAGAACUUCCAGUUAAUAUAUUCUUUAGAUAUCAUACCUGAAUAUUUGGUUUCAUCUAAUUCAACUUUUCUUUUAACAGUGACUUUGCAUAUUACAAAUGGCCUUCAACACGAUCCAAUAUCUUUUCUGUUGCUGUCUUCACUUGCGGACUCAUUCUCUUAUCUGAUCACAAUACUAAUCUUUCAAUCACGAGACUCUGUCAUUCCGCACUUGUAAGCUUAUUUAAGCCAUAUAGUACGGAUCUCAUUAUAAUGCUUUACCAAUGAGGGGGUGAGGGUUGUAAAGCCAACAAUUUUAACUCUUACGUAAGCAUGCACAUCACACAUACUAUUAUGAACGGACAGUUCAUUACUAAUUCCGUAUUCUCAAACAUCUAGCAAUCAUUUACUUAUGAUCACUUGGUACUUAACACAUAGCUCAUACGCUAAAUCAAAUAAUAAAUUCCAAAUAAAAAUAUUCACACAACAAUCAUAUACCCAACAUCACAACUCAUAUACUCAUAUAAUUAUAACAUUUAUCAAUAGCAGAAUAUCAUGCAUUCUGAUUCAUACCUUUUUAUGAGUUUCAACUCAUCACCAACACAUUUUCACUCAAACGUUUGAGUAUAACAUUCUGUAUUAUCAGAAUUAGCUCGGUUGGAAAGCAUAUAUGUCUUAUGAAAAACACACAGAAUAAGCUUUGAAAGCUUAGUAAGCCUUAAGCAAAUAAAUCAUUUCAAUGAUUAUGAAAAUUACAUAUCACUAAUCCGAAUUGAAAAAUAAUCUCAAUUGCAUAUACAUUCAUAGUACUCUUAAGUUCAUAUAACCUUAUUAAAUAGCUUCACUUAUUUAUAUUUACUAAUAACUUAUGACUAUGAUUUUAAAUUCGUGUGAUAACUGUCAAUUCAUCCGUAUGAACAAAACUUGCACAUAUCCAAUACAUACCAACCAAAACAUGUCAUAUUUUUCCCUGUUUGAUUCAUGGAGCCACAAGGUCACAUGUCAAGCACAUAUAGCAUAUAUUUAUCUGUUAUUUAUCACGUCUCAUUUUCACAUGGACUACAUACAUCUGACCAAGUUUAUUCAAUAUCGAUGCCACUGCCCUGGACAGGGUUUUACACGAAUCAUAAGUGAUGCCAGUGUCCCAGACACGUUAUUAUACACUACUUCAAAUCAAUGCCUUCGUCUCGGACGAGGUCUUACAUGAUCUCAUUUCACACACUUAGUGCCCCAACAACCGAUCUUGCACACACAGUGCUUGGUUACGAAACUCGCACACACAGUGCCUCAACAACCGAUCUCGCACACACAAUGCUCGGUUACGAAAAUCACACACACAGUGCCUCAACAACUGAUCUCGCACACACAGUGCUCGGUUACGGAACUCGCACACACAGUGCCUCAACAACCGAUCUCGGACACACAGUGCUCGGUUACGGAACUCGCACACACAGUGCCUCAACAACCGAUCUCGCACACACAGUGCUCGGUUACGGAACUCGACACACAGUGCCUCAACAACCGAUCUCGCACACACAGUGCUCGGUUACGGAACUCGACACACAGUGCCUCAACAACCGAUCUCACACACACAGUGCUCGGUUACGGAACUCGCACACACAGUGCCCGGUUACGGAACUCGCACACACAGUGCCUCAACAACUGAUCUCGCACACACAGUGCUCGGUUACGGAACUCACACACACAGUGCCUAUGUUCACUUGUUGUUGCACAUUGAAGUGACUUAACCAAGUCUAUAAAACAUCACAUAUGUGCACUUUGAACAUAUCAUUUCAUUUAACUUUGGAUUCAUAUAUUCAUGAACACUUAAACAUUUCAGAGCCAACUUUAAUUUAAUCAAAUCAGUAUAGAACACAAUUUCAUUCGAACAUCUGAGUACAUAUUCUAUACUAUUAAAAUUAGCUUGAUUGAAAGACUUAUCUGUCCUAUUCAAAUAAUUUUCGUCAGAGUCAGGAGAUAUCACACUAUCGCAGGUCAAAUAUGGCAUGUACAGCUAGACUCACACACACCAUGGUAGUCCUAGAACCGACUAAACCAUGGCUCUGAUACCAAUAAAAUGUAAUACCCUUCGCCCGUAUCCCUCGCCGAAAUAAGGUUUGAGGUGCUACCAGAUUUAAACUUUUCAUACACACGUAUAUUAUCCUUUAAUCGGGCUUACAAGGCCCAAAAUAUUCAUGAGGCAUUAUUAAAUAUUUACCAAUAUCUUAGUCUUGUAUCAUUUACUUACUCAACUUUACAACCCUACACAUGCCAUAGACUCGAAACACUAAGAUUUACUUAACAACCCUAUACAUGCCAUAGACUCGAAACACUAAGAUUUACUUACGCCGAUAGCGUAGACUUGACAAUGUGAUAAUAUCUCUGACGGCCUCCAACCCGAGCUAACCUGGAAACCCUAGGGAAUAUGGAAAAGAAAAGGGGAGUAAGCUUUACGCUUAGUAAGUUCAUAAGAAAACAAUAAGCAACUCAUUAACAAGUUUUAUCAAUGUUUACAACAUAAUCACAAAUUCACUACAAGUUGUCUUCCUGAGCAAUAUUCACUAAAUUAUUUAUAACUAGAGCUACAAAACUCCAAAUUAAUUGCCGUUAAUUUUCCCUGAAAAUAGACUCAUAUAUCUUCCAUCCAUAAAAUUUUCAGAAUUUUAGGUUUGGCCAAUCAAUACCAGAUUUUUCUUAAAGUUUCCCCUGUUUCACUGUUUGACUAAUCUGAUCACUCUUCACCACGAAUAAAAUUUCUUAUUGUACAAAAUUCAAAAUAUGUUCUAUUUGAUUUCAUUUGAAACUAGACUCAUUAAGGAGUCUAAGCAUAUAAAUUUUAGCUUAUAACCAUUUUUGUACAAAUUAUAAUGAUUUUCUAAAGACAGAAUAGGGGACCCCGAAGUCAUUUGACUCUAUCCCACGCCACUUAAAAUAUCUCAUUAUCAGCAAUUCUUUUGCUUACACGGUUUCUUUUUAAGAAACUAGACUUAUUAAGCUUUAAUUACAUAAUUUAUUCAGCUUCUAACUCAACUCCAAAAAUUUAUGGUGAUUUUCCAAAAUCACGUUACUGCUGCUGUCCCAAGCAGAUUUAUUACAAAUUUACUCUUUCACACAUUCUUUGCAUUCACAUUAUUUAAACAUGUAUAUCACCAAUCAAUUUCAUCACAUAUCUAUAAUUUCACUCAAGCAUAAUCUCAAUACAAUACAUCAUGCUCAAUGAUUCGCACACAACCGUUCAAAUUAGCAAUUAUAAGAUGAUUCCGCACAUAGUCUACCCUUAUCGAUAAUUUACGAUGGUUUUGCUCUACUCACAUAUAUGACAUAGGCAUUUUCACCUAUGCUUCUCAUUUCACAUUCAUGAUUCAAUUCCAAUUGAUCUAACAUGCAUAAGAAUAUAUCACAUACCUGGCCAACUUAAUGCAUUGAACAAAUUCAAUUACCGAUUUAACACAAGGUCUCAUAGUCUUAGACUUUUAUCAAAUCACCGGUAUUUAGCCUGCUAGGUUUUAAACCCGAUAAUAUUAUUCACCAGCUUAAAGCUUGAUAGGCUCAAAGCCCAAAUAUCACCAUUAUAAAGUCAUCUCAUAAACAAUUCAUAUAAUAUAGCAUGUAUACCUGUUCACUUUGCUCUAUUCAAUCAUUCAAUCACAAUUUAUAAUUUCCCUUUGAAUCAUUCGAUAUUUUGCACACUAAGUGUCAUUCUCAAUAUCUCGCACACUAAGUGCCAUUCUCAAUAUUUCGUACGCUGAGUACCAUAUUUGAUUGCCCCGCACACUAAGUGCCACAUUUUGUCGAUAUGUCGUUAGACAUUAAAAUAUUCACGUAUAUACAAUUUAUACAAUAUUAAAGCAUUAGAAACAUCAAUUUAACAAUGCUUAUUGCAUAGGAACUUACCUGGCUAAAUUGUAGAGAUACCAAAGUUCAGGGGCAUUUUGGUAAUUUUCUCAUUUUUCUCGAUUUUCCACCCGAUCUUGAUCUAAAUUAUUAAUUUCAUUCAGUAUAUUAAUUUAGACAUUAAAACACCUCAUUUCAUACAAUUUGGUCAUUUUUUUCAUUUUUACAAAAUUACCCCUAAAGUUUUACUUUUAUUCAUUUAGUCCCUGAGCUCAAAACAUGCAAAUUAACCAUUUUUAACCAUAAUUAAGCUUAGCCAAAUGUUAAUGGUAUCAAAACAGUCCAUAAUUCACUUUAUGGAAAAAUUAUAGUUUUGCCCCUAAUAUUUCAACUUCUUUACAAUUUAGUCCCUGUAUCAUAAAAAUGCAAAUUCAUGAAAUUGAGUAAAAUUCUACUAUAGACGAAUAUCACUAGUGUCUCUAGCAGGCCACACAUUUCAUUUAUUUGACAUUUUAACCAUAAAGUUUUCACAUUUAUCAAUUUAGCCCUUAAUUGUCAAUUUCACAAAAAAUCACUUAACAAAAAGUGUUUAACUAUCAACAAGGACUCAUAUUCUUCCAUUAAACUUCAAAGCCCUAUUAUACUCAUCAAUGGCAAAUAUCAAACUAUUCAAUGGUUUUGCAAAAUAGUCCCCUCAUUAGAUAGAUUAAGCAACAACGAUCCCGAAAAUAUAAAAAUAAUUAAAAACGGGACUAGAAAUGCCUACCAUGC